UGAGUUCCUAAAGUUCCUAAAUGCAGUAUAAACCAGUCACCUCCUUUUAUUGGAGUUCCUAAAUCCGGAAUAAACCGUUCACCUCCCUAAAUUCUUAAUAUUACAUUUGUCCUGUAUAUAAUAUCGUAUAACAUAAAAAAAAGCUGUCCAAAAUCCGGAGGAGAAUAACCAGGUCCAGAACUCUAGAUCCAACCCACAAAGUCAAAAGGGUGAGUUCGCAGGAUUCCUUUUCUAAUAAUAUAAUAUGGUUUUGAAACAAAUGUGCGUGGCCUCCAUCACUCAUUACAGUUGACUGUCAACCUUGAAUAUCAUCCAUGGCGGAACAACUAUUGCAAAUUCGACGUCUACUUCGACUUCUUCUUCAUCAAUAGUUAUGAUCGCUGCCACUGGCGAUGGUAAGGAAUCUCAACCCUCAACCUCCUCCAUACAACUCACUCAAGCAUGCCGUCACUUCCAGUUUGCUGAGAUUCUCUUAGCAACCUUUUGACGAAUCAUUAGUAAUUGGGCAUGGAGGAUUUGGAAAAGUUUACAAAGGUAACAUUAUCAAUGGAUCAAGUGUUUCCAUUGCUGCCAUUAAACGGUUGGACUCCAUGUCCAGUCAAGGGGCAACAGAGUUCUGGGCGGAAGUUGAGAUGCUUUCAAAGUUACGUCAUAGUCAUCUUGUGUCUUUGUUUGGUUAUUGUAAUCAUGAAAAUGAAAUGAUCCUCGUAUAUGAAUAUAUGCCAAAUGGAACACUAGAAGACCACCUCCAUAAACUUGGUACCCCUCUUUCAUGGCUUCAACGACUCAAGAUCUGCAUAAGUGCAGCUCGUGGGUUAGAAUAUCUCCACACGGGUACAGGGAUUGAUUUCGGGGUUAUACAUCGUGAUGUCAAGAGCUCCAAUAUUUUGUUACAUGAAAGUUGGGCUGCUAAAAUUUCAGAUUUUGGGUUGUCCAAAAUAGGUCCAACGAAUCAGGCAUCGACUCAUGUCAACACACUUGUUAGAGGAACAUUUGGGUAUCUUGAUCCACAUUAUUACGCAACUGGAAGGCUGACAAGGAAGUCUGAUGUGUAUGCGUUUGGGGUUGUGCUGUUUGAAGUGCUGUGCAGGAAGCGUGCUGUGGAUAAAAAUCUUGAAGUAGGCUUGGCAACAUGGGCUCAAGAUUCUAUCAAAGAGGGAAAGUUAAAGGAUAUAAUUGAUUCAGAUAUAAGGGGGCAAAUAUCUACAAAAUGUCUAAAGGGGUUUGUUCGAAUUGCAGAGAGAUGUUUGCUUAGCCAUCCAAAGCAACGCCCUACCAUGGCUGAGGUUGUUUUCAGUCUUGAAUCUGCACUGAACAUACAAGACAAAAUCAAUAGUUCCUUGCAGGCUGGUGGCAAAACAAUAUUUGGAAGAAUGUUUGAUCGGUUUCCCUUUUCCUCCAAUGUAGAGAACUCUGGUAUUUUCAGCUCCUGUUGAAUUGUGUGUAUAUAUUCCUUAGUUAGAAUGUAGAAAUGCAAUCUCAUAACUUUAAAAUACAAAAGAGUAGUUAUGCCGAAAGCAGUACUGAGUUCAAAUAUUUAUGUUAUUAUUCUAUCAUUUGCUUUAAUAUUGGUGAUUAGCAUAAUCCAAAUUUCUUUCAUUUGUUUUACCAUUAUCUAGUUUGUAGUUUCAUUGUUUUGCUCUAAAGCCUGAUUCUUGAUAAUUCACCUUGUUUUGCGUAUCCAAGUGUCUCUAGUUUCAUUUUGUUUUUCCACAGAACUAUGUGCUUAUGUUCUUUACACUCUUAAAACUAGAACAGAUUUGUUUGAUGACUGAUAAUGCUUGUUUGUGCUUGUUACAAUGCUUAUGUGACAUUCAUUUGGUUCGUCUAUAUUCUAUGAGAUGCUUGACUCGAACCCUUGACCAUUUAAGUAUGCCACCCAGGAACCAACUGUGCUACAUUUUUCUGUUUUAUACACAUGAGAGGAUACAAUAACUAACUUAUAUUUACAUAUGUUGUGAAGAACACAAAAUUAUUACUAUAUAAUCUUGUUUUGUUCAUCUAUUUCAGCCCAUGGUGAUUCUAAGCAAUCAAGUAAUGACAAUGGCAAUGUUACAGCAAACAUAAAUUCAAGGAGUAGUGUUGGUGAGAGAAGUUCUGGAAAGGUUUCCCAAGGUUGGGUUGACAACAACAUUUUGAUCUCUACAAAUCCUGAUGUUGGUAUUAGGAAGCACAAAGAAGAAGGUUUUCAGCAACAUACUGCAAGUCUGGUAAGCAUACAAAAGUACACAUCAACUUAUAUUUAUAAUGAAGAAAAAAUAUUUAGAGUUUUAUGAGAAAACAUUUGACUAACAUAUUUCUUCUAAUCCUUUCACUUGUGACAUUCUCACAAAGCCGUUACAGAAAGCAUAAUAGAUCAUAUUUGUAAUAGUUGGCAUGAUUAACAUCUUUUCUCCAACUUGAGGAGGAAAGCUAGCUACUUUUAUCUAGUUUCCUAUUUGGAUUGUAUAUAUAUAUCUUUGUAUAUAAAAUGAGGGUUUCUGUUUCACAGAAAAGAAGUAGAAUUUUUGUUUUGUGAAUCUUUUUGAUAUAUAUGAUGUUGCAGGAAACUACAGAAGCAGACUUUUUCAGUGAAUAUGGUGAAGGGAGUAGGUACAAAUUAUUGGAAGUUAUUGGUAAAGGAAGCUCUGGUAUUGUAUGUUCUGCAUAUGAUACUCAUAGUGGCGAGAAAGUAGCAAUAAAAAAAAUAAAUGAUAUAUUCGAACAUGUUUCUGUUGCUGUUAGCAUCAUUCGUGAGAUUAAGCUUCUUAGGCUUCUUCAUCAUCCAGACAUUGUUGAAAUCAAACACAUCAUAUUACCACCUUCAAAAAGAGAAUUCCGAGAUAUAUAUUUGGUUUUUGAGCUUAUGGAAUCUGAUCUGCAUCAGGUUAUUAUCGCAAAUGACGAUUUAACACCAGCACAUCAUCAAUUCUUUCUUUAUCAGCUCCUCCGAGGACUGAAGUACAUACACUCAGGUAAUACAAUGUGUUAUGAUCAUUUCAUGAUAUGUGUAUUUCUUUCAAGUAGUCAUGCCGUGUUAUAUUUUUGUGUAUUCUGAUUGUGAAUUACUUACUUCUUUUGCAGCAAAUGUCUUUCAUAGAGAUCUAAAACCCAAAAAUAUCUUGGCCAAUGCUGACUGCAAACUCAAGAUCUGUGACUUUGGUCUUUCAAGGGUUGUGUUCAAUGAUCAACCUACUUCAAUAUUUUGGACGGUAUGUAUAAGCCUUAAGUUGUGGGCUACCAAUAAGAAACACUCACCAUGGUUUUAUGUUAAUCAGGAUGUUAUUGGGCUUGUUUAUAACUUUGGGCUUGGGGUGUUACAACUUACAAUAUGUUAUUGGGCUAGUAAACUUACUUCUUUAAAAGUAAUUUUUAUCAACUGCUUGAAUUUUGAUGUGUUCACAGGAUUAUGUUGGAGCACGAUGGUAUAGGGCUCCUGAACUCUGUGGAUCAUUUUUUAGCAAGGUGCCACAACGUACUAACUUGUACUACAGUUAUAUGCUUUAAAUUCAACAAAUUUAGACUUACUUUAAGUUCUCAACAUAUUGCAUUCUACAAGAAAUAAAGGUUUAUAAUAUAGGGCUAACUACAAGAAAUAGCAGUGGUGUUUAUAUAUGCAUUAUUGCAUUCUACUUCUGUUUCAUUAUAUUACAGCAGUGUUUACAUUUUUCUUUAUUAAGUCACUGUACUUUGAAAAUCUAAACAAUUAUAGGACUGUACUUCAAAAUUUUCUUAUUAAUACAUUCCCAAAAUUGGCUAGAUAUUUCAAAGUACAAUGCUGUAAUAGGAAAAAGUAUGGAUGAGGAUGCUAUUGUAAACAAAUCAAUGGAAGUAUAUUGCGAUUUCUUACAUUUAACCAUGUAACUCACUAUAUGAAAAGCAUUGGCCAAGUAGAUUUCGAGUACUAAAUAACAUUUUGUCUGCAGUACACACCUGCUGUAGACAUAUGGAGUAUUGGUUGCAUUUUUGCAGAGAUUCUAACAGGAAAGCCCCUUUUCCCUGGGAAAAAUGUUGUACAUCAGUUGGACUUGAUCACUGAUCUUUUAGGAACCCCAACAGCUGAUACUAUAUCCAGGGUUGGUUUACAUGACCAUUUAUUAGAAAGUAAAUCGCUCUUUCUUGCUUAUUAAUGUUGAUAUGACUCAAAACAGAUAAGAAAUGACAAGGCAAGGAGAUACUUAAGCAGCAUGAGGAAGAAAAACAGGAUUCCUUUUUCACAGAAGUUCCCAAAUAAAGAUCCUCUCGCUCUUCGUUUAUUAGAAAGAAUGCUUUCAUUUGACCCUAAGGAUCGACCUACUCCUGAGGAGGUAACAUCUUAGGCGCUAUCUAUCUAGAUUUAAGAAAGAUCUCUCUUAACAAAAAAAGGUUAAAUGCAAAAAACAAAAAAUCUAUUUUUUUUUAUUAUUCCAUCCUGCUUUCCUUUUUUUUCCCUUGAUAUUACAAUGAACAAUCCAGAAAAUAAGACUCAAAUUCUUGAUUGAUUUCCAAAUCGAUAAAGAAACAAGUAGCUACUCUAGAGGCUACACUCUCCCACGAGAAAACAAAAUCACCAAAAAGAUAUCCACAUUAUUCUCCACUACCCUCUAAAUAUCCUUUUGUAAUAAAUUUAAAGGACGAAACUGCCCAUGCACAUGCAUAACACUCUACCUCACUGAAUUUCCUUCUUGUUCUUUCGAGAAUACAAAAAUUUUAGGGGAGGAGGUGUAGCACAAUCCAAAUACAAAACUGUUAACUGUGGAANUAUAUAUAUAUAUAUAUAUAUAUAUAUAUCAACAUAAUUUACAUAAGGGGUCCCUAUACUAUACAUAAACAGAAAAAUAACAUAUAACUUAACAAAAACAGUUUUCACUGCUAUAAUUGGGUAGAGCAUUCAGAGUAUAAUGUCUUAAAAAGUAUAUAAAUGAAAAAGCUAUUACUGUGUAGAUAUAUCAAAAUAGAAUGUUUAAGAAAACAAUUGAGAGUAGAAUGUUGUAAUAGAAACAAAUGAAUGUAGGAUUCUAUAGUACUCAUAUAAGUUAAAGUAAGUUGCUAUUUCUUUUAUUUGGAUUACAAAAAAGCAUGUUUUGCACUUUGUAUUAGGCUCUUUUGGAUCCAUAUUUGAAGGAUAUAGCUAAGAUUGAGAGGGAGCCUUCUGCUCAGCCCAUUUCAAAGUUGGAAUUUGAGUUUGAACGAAGAAAAUAUACAGAAGAAGAUGUACGUGAACUGAUAUAUAGGGAGAUUCUUGAAUACCAUCCAAUUAUUUUGAAAGAGUACUUGGAUGGAGCUCAACGAACUGGCUUCAUAUAUCCAAUUCCAAGGUACAAUUUUUUGUUUUAAACUUUGGGUAAAAUACAAAAAAACCAACAUCCUUUCAUUUAUUUAUUUGUUAUAUCAUCCUUCUUUUACAACACUGUAUUUUGAAAAAUCUAUCCAAUUAUAGUAAUAUCAUUCAAAAUACAAAGCAUUUCAUUGAUAUAGUGCGUAGAUUUUAUGAAGUACACUCUCCUAAUAAGAAAAAAAAACUAAAGUAUGAUGCUACAAUUAGGUACACUUUUCGAAGUACAAUGUCUUAAUAGAAAAAAACAGAAGUUCGAGGUUGUAUUAAAAAGAGAUGAAAGUAAGAUGAUAUAAUAACCUAAUCAAUUGAAGUAUGUUAAUCUUUAUUCCAUUAUCCUUUAUUUUCUUAAUGUUGCAUGAUAUGUUUUGGUUCAUCACAUCCAAAUAUUUAUGACUAAUAUUUAAAUCCAAAUACAUUUGUAUUUUUUCUAUACUUAAAUUGACACUUGGCUUUUUUGAGAUUAUUGUGAAAGUAUACUAUAAAUUUUAGCACAAAAAGUGAAACAACUGAUAGGCACACUGACCACACCUUGAAACAAUGGUCAUCUGCUAUUGACAUCAACUGGUUCAUGUUGCUGUAGUGCUAUUUUAGCACAAUAAAUGACUUAUAAUAAUGGGAAACAAGUUUUCAUAUUCUUAACAUCACAUUAUUCAAGUAUACUACCACCCUAUUGUCGAGUUAAUUUAAGGAGUGGAAUGGAAGGGAAUGAAAGUAGAUCAAAGGGAAAUGUGUUCUUGAGUUUUUUUGUAAGAGAUGGAAGGGGAGGGGAAGCAAAAUAAGUGUUUUUUUUUACCAGGCAAUUUUUGGGAGGGUUAGGAGGGGAAGGCAAAAAAAGGCUUAAAUCUCUCCAUUCCAUUCCAUUUCCCUCCAACUCAAGAACACACUUGAUUAUUUCUAUUGUUCUUUCAUUUCCUCUCCUUCCAUUCCUUUCGUUUAAUUAAAAAACUCUAGAACAAGGUGAAUGAAUUUAAUCACCAAAAACAAUGAUUAACACACCAGAACAACAUCACAUGUUGUUGACUCCAGGUCAUUCCUGUUGUCGUAGCAAAGUUCACAUAAUAAAUACCUAAAAUAGCGUGGAACUAGUUUUAAUAUCUCUCCUUGGAUUUUCAUGAUAUCAAGAUUAAUAUAUAUUAUCAUUGUCUUCACUUUUGCAGGGCUGUUGAGCAAUUUGGGAAGCAGUUUCGUCACCUUGAGGAGCUUUAUGGCAAUGGUACAGCUGUUGAUCCUAUAGAGAGUCCACGAGCUUCAUCAUUGCCAAGGUGAUCUAUAACUGUGUCCAUACUUAAUUCCUAACUCCUGGAUUGCCCCUAGGGCAUAGAACAAUCAAUUCCAUUGUGAAUUGUGCUUCGUGUGAGAAUUGAGCAAUCAUCAUGAUGUUAUAUACCAAAUUUACAUCUAUCAUGAUGCUCUUGGAAUACGUCGGUGUGGGCCAACACAAGGAAGAGUAACUCUUUUGUAGAGACUCGUGAUUUUUUUUCCUGAACUGUGAAACUGGUUUACUUAACUUUUGGGUUCAGGCUUCGCAUAUUACACCCAGAAGAGACUGCACAAAGUAUAAUAGAAGUUACAAACGAUCUCCCUAAAUAUUCAAUCAAAGAAGCAGGGAAGCAAUAGAUGACUCAUGACAAUAACCAGACUUUCUCUUCAAGUUCCUCAAAUUGCCAACUGGUUUGAUGAUCCGGUGCAAAUAAUCAUUAUAUUUGGGUUUUACUUCUUCCCAUAUAUACUCAUUAUAUCAAAUUAAGAGGGUAAAAAGUAAUGGCAGUAGCAGCAUACAUAAUCCUGUGAAAAUGAGCUUUUAGUGUUCUUAUUUAUACCCAGAAUCAUGUUGUAAUCGAAAAACAAUUGAACAAAAGUUAAAAGGAAAUGGAUAGUUACUUUCACACUUUACAAAGACAAAAUGCCUCAAGUAAUGUACAUAUAACAAACACACACACAACUAACGUAACUGAGUAACAACUAAUUAAUCGACUCCACAGUUGCCACAGUCAACAACUAGGAAAUGACACAUCACCAAGAUGGUAGAGAUCCGGUAGAUGUCAAACCUUGAGUAGAUAAACCCAUGAAAACUGUUGAAGGUGGAUUUGAAGAUAACAUCAACAAAUAAAGAGUAAGAAGCUGAUAAGGUUUCUUACGCUAAAGAGAUGAAGGGCAUGUUUGGCAAAACUAGCCGUUCACUUAGUUUUAAUAUAUGUAAAAGUGUUAGGCAAAAGUAGUUUUAACCUUUUAAAGGUGUCAAAGUACAUAAAACUAAAUGCAAAAAGCUACUGAACUAGCUAAAUACCUUUUGGAUUCAAUGCUUUUUGGUUAAAAUAAAAUAAAAACUUUAAGCUCGUAUUUAAGCUGAUACUCUAGAAAAACCAUUUUUCUUCUUAAUUUGAGUUAUUUUUUUCUUAAAAGAUUAAACCUCUCAAAAGCUCACUGUCAAACAAACUGAAAUCUAACACCUGCUCAAGCAAGAGGGUAAGGAAAUAUCUGUUGGGUUUCAUUUAGAAAUCGGUUUCUAAAAACACUAGAAACAGCAACGCAAGCAUUAAAAUUGUGAAUAAACUUUAAACUAUUUUAAUCCACCAAGGAUCAUUUUACACACAUGGAAAGAUUAAUACAAUCAUAGGAACAAAAAAAUACAACCUUUGAAAACAUUGAUUCAUCUUGGGAGGUUGGAAGUUGAGGAAGAAUGUAGAAUAGAACCACACCUUAGUUAGAAACAUUAAAAAUUUGUCAACUUGAUAUAGAUUUUAGUCCUUGUAAUAAUAUGAACACUCUUAAGCAUUAAGUCAAAACCUAAGUAAUGACAUAAAGAUAUAUGUAGUUAAAGUAUCAAAACUCUUCUUUUUAACUUAACACUUUGAAAAGGUAAAAAGAAAGAGGGGGACGGAGUGAUUCACAUGAAUUACAAGCCAAAGAAAAUGAGAUCAAAAGGUCCAUUAAAAUACUUUCAAGAGUCAUCUUUAUCCAUUAAGUCUUUCACUUUUUUUGAACGGAAAAUCUACUCCUAAUCCUUAAUUCCCCUUAUGUCCACGAUAGAACUUGAACCCUCAACCUGAAAGAGGAAAGGCAACACCUGAUAAUGUUGGGCUCGAAGCCCUUUGGUGUCUUUCAUUUUCUAUUCCAUGCUUCUAGUACUUAAAAGCCUAUGGAAUAAGAACAUGCCUAAAGAAAUAAACAAAAACUAGUUUGAUUUUUUCCGAUGCUAGUUUAUUCACGUAUUUGGAAGCCAAAAAGGAAGAAAAAUGGUAGCCCUUUUUNUAUAUAUUAUUGUGGUUUUCGUUUGGAUUUUUUGUCCCUUUUUUUUUUUUUUUUUUUUUUUUUUUUUUUUUUUUUGUAGAUUUUUGUGUCUUAAAACCCUUUAUAAAAGACAUAAAAUAUACAACAUUUUUUCCUUCUUUGUCCAUGUUUGAAUAUUAUAAGAAGAACAAACUUCUAAAGCAUGGUACUUACAAUUUAAUAAGCAUUAAGGAGAAGUGACUAGCCAUGAAGCUAGUCANCUGAUUAUUUUUUUCAUAAAUUGUCAAAUAAACAUAUGAUAUAUAUAUAUAUAUAUAUAUAUAUAUAUAUAUUGUAACGCCCGGUUUCUGGUAUGUAUUUUAAAUAAAAAUUGUUCAUUUCUGCAAAGGGACUCGACGAGUUGGAGGCCCCAAACUUGUCGUGUAGGAAAGGGAGAAGUUUGGACGCGGGACUUAAAGUCUACUCGACGAGUCGAGGAGCCUCGACUCGACGAGUAGGAUUGCCAGAGUGAAACCCUAGUUUUUAGGAUUUGCACCCUAUGUAAAGCUCUUAACACCCCAUUUUGCCCUCUCUCAUCACCUCCCUAGUCCAUAAAACCUUAACUUGAAACCCUAGCCCAUUUUGUGUGUUCUUGAGCCAUUGUUGUGUGUUUUUGGUGGUUUUGAAGCUUGAGAAGGAAGAGGAAGCUUGGGAGAUCAAGAGGAAACAAGUAGAUCCAGAGUAUGUGCUCCAUUUCCAGCUCAUUUGAAGUAUAACGUUUAUACCUUGUCCAGUCAGCUAUUAGAUCUUUUCUUGGAGUAGUUUAAGGCUUUAAAGAGCCAUUUUUAGAACCAUUCAUGAAUGCAAGUAUGUCUUGGGGUAUUGACUUUAGAUCCAGUCUUUGAGGGACUCCAUGGCAUAAAGGUGCCAACUUUAUGGUCAUGGGAGUCCCAUGCAUCCUAUGAACCACUUUUUAGGGCUUUUUGAGCUAAAUAACCCAUGCAUGCACGUAAGGUUAGCAACUUUACGUGUUAUAUCGACCCUAGGUUUCCAGAUCUAUGUUUUGGAUGCAUUAAGCCCGACUGAAAUCGACUGUAUAGUAUUGGAUCAUGGAGGACUCGACCAGUCGUUCUUAGGACUCGACGAGUCGGGUCGUGGUUCCCCCAACCUUCUCUGUUACUUAGCAACUUGUUGAGUCUAGAUGAUGACUCAUCUAGUUAGAGGUGUUUUGGACUUAAAGGUCAAUAACUCGAUGAGUCCAAGGAUGAACUCGUCGAGUCAGUGAGCAAAUGUCCUGAUUGUAUAAAGGAAAACUCGACGAGUCCAAGGAAGGACUCGAUGAGUUCAAAUGGAAAGUCUCGAUUCUGUCAUAAGGAGAAACUCGACGAGUCAGAUCGCAAAUUCAAGAUUCUCUGAAUUAUGGAACUCGACGAGUUGAUGGACCAACUUGGCGAAUUGAGUCAACCAGGAUGUUGACUUUGACCAGGGUGUUGACUUUGACUUUGACUUUGACCAUUACCGAAGAUUGAGCCUCAAAGGGGAUAUGAAUGUGAAGGAGUAACCAAGGAGACUGUUAUGUGUAGGAGUUUGAGGAGAGUUGAUCCCAACACCGAGGGCAGUUUAGUUACUACACAACAUUGAAGUGAGUUACCUUCCAGUAGAAGUGGGUCUAAGGCACCAAGGCCGACCCAUUAGUAGGAGAUUACAGUUGAGAUGAUUGUCUUUGUGAUAAUUUUCUGGUAUGCCACUAUCUAUUAUGUUUUAUGUGCUAGUAUGUUAUGUGAUUAUGUGAUAGUGGUAGGUAGGGGACUAGUCCCUGGGUCAGGUUAAGAUAAACCGGCAGGGUAGGUCGGGCACCCUAGAAUUGCAUGACUAUAUGUUAUGAUAUGAAAUUAUAUGGUAGUGGUAGGGGUGAAAUAGUCCCUGUAGCCAGUUCUGAUAAACUGGAGGGUAGGUCUGGCACCCUAGAAUUGCCUGGCAGGGUAGGUCGGGCACCCCAGAAUUGUCGUAGGUUGGGCACCCCAAAAUUGCUCGGCAAUAUGUUGCUAUAUGUUAUGUGGUAUGAUGGGGGAACUCACUAAGCUUUGUGCUUACAGUUUUUAGUUUUUGUUUCAUGUCCUUCUUCUUCGAAGGGAAAGGAGUCGGCACGGUAGCAGCGGAUCACACACAUGAUUUCCGCGUAUGAGAUUCUUGGGUUUUGUACUCUGACAUUAUUAUGAUUUGGUUUUGAGACACUUGACCUAUGGUUUUAUGAAAUAAAUUACCUGAUGAUGUUUUCUUAUAAAUUGUUUUAUGAAUUGCUAUAUUAAAAAUGAAAUUUUUGGUCUUGAAUUUUGGGAAGCUACAAGUUGGUAUCAAAGCCUUGGUUUGAGGGAUUCGGACACACCUUCGGGGGUGUCUAGACUCAAAUCGAGGGCUUGAAAGUUUUUUACAAAUAAAAUAGUUUUUUUAAAAGUUAAAAUAAAGAGCUUUGAAAAAGUACAAGGAGUGUGAUGCGUGCGAUCGGCCGAGCUCAAGUAAGUUUUCCCCAAGAUACCCAUACUUGUUAUGUUAUGACAUGUUAUGAUUAUGAGGACUGCAUGCUAGAUUAUGUCUAAGGAUCUAGGAAGGAUGCCUUAUAUGCUUAUUGUAUGUGUAUGAGAACUGCAUGCUAGAUUAGGGCUAAGGAUCUAGGAAAAUGCCUUAUGUUCCUGUUGUAUGUGCUUAUUAAGUUACAUGCUAGAACUGAUUAGUCAGUAAUAUGAUGGCCUGAAUAAGAUAUGCUUGGUAUGGUUACUCAAUGCUUGAAUGCUUCUUGCUUUGUGCUUUUAGGAGUUCUAGUUAUCUUUAACUAACUAGUAAACAAAUACGUUAAGUUUCAUAUUGCAAGGACUAAAUAUUUUCAGAAGGUUAGGUCUAGCACUGUUGUGCAGCUCUUGUUUGAGUCCAACUGUUGCAGGGUAGGACCUCUCAUUCGAAGAAUUAUCUGGUCUUAGUGAUAUGUGAUGGUAUCCGCGAGCUAGUUAGGUAAGGUUGAUAGGAAUUUCUUAUGCAAUUGAUGGCGGAGAGUAGGUCGGAGAGUUACCCUAGGGUAAGCCUAGGAUGAGAUUAGAGCAGUGAGCAGUAGCAGUAGAAGGGACUUGGUGAAGUCAAGGCAAACAUUGAGGAAAGUACGGAUAAAUGUGGAAGGUAGUAUGGGCCCGUACUAAUAAAAGCAGAGGAUCUGUACUCGAGUCAAAGAGGGCUUAGAUAGAACCAGAGAACUUGUACAUAGUGUUAGACCUCUCGAGACUAUAUAUGACCCUGACGAUUAUGUGUUUUGUUUCAGAAUGGUGGUGACACGUCACGGAGCAGGAGGUUCAAGGUCUCUGUCAGGAUUAGUUUCAGGUUCGAGUGCAGGCUCCGAGCCAGUUGAUGGCGGACUAUGUGAGUUCAUCGCGUCUGAGAUCAUGAGAGGCAACCUUGAGGUGAAACCGUUUAUUUUCGGGUCGAUCAAGGACGGGAUCAUCGAGCUGAUGGAGGAUCGCCUCAAGGCGUUCAUGAGCGACAUGACAGCUGGCAGUCAAGGACACGACACUCUCCUUCAAGGAUUUCAGGGGAUGUAGUGCGCCAGACUUCCACGGGGUGAAGGACCCUAUUAUGGUCAGGAGGUGGAUUUCAUACAUCUAGUCUGUUCAGUUGACGAGCUUCUGCCCUGAGGGGUCGAAGGUCCAGUGCGCUGCAGGUUGUUUGAGAGACCAAGCUCGAGAUUGGUGGGAGGCGGUCAGUGAUUCUUUGGGAGACCCAACCAUUGAGACUAUGACUUGGUCAGACUUUGUGACCAUGUUUAGGGCGGAGUUUGUGCCAGCUGUGGAGCUACAACAACUGGCUAGGGUGUUUCUGUAUAUGAGGCAGUCGACUGAGUCGGUGGCGGAGAUUACCGCCAGGUUCCGAGAGGGGGCCUUACUGGUGCCUCAGUGUACAGGGGAUGAGGAGACGAGGAAGAUCAGGUAUCACGACAUGUUGAGGGCUGACAUCUAAAAACAUGUCAGCUACUCGGCAUGCACGACUCUGGAGGACAUGAUAAUCAGGGCGAGGGAGAGGGAGAUUGACAUAGAUCACCUCAGGAAGAGGAACGCAGAGACUGGUCCAGUGUCAGGGGUUUCAUGGAAGAAACCCAAGGGAGUUGACUCGAAGUGGAAGGGCCAGCCGGGUAGGAGCCUAUGCGGGAAAUGCUGCAGGCCAUAUGAGGAACUUUGUAGAGCCGGGGGCUCGGGCUGCUACAAAUGCGGCAAGACCAGGCACUUUAGCAAGGAUUGUACUGCCCCUACUCCUACCUUUCAGACAUCAAAACUGAUUUGCUUCCAUUGCAAUCAGAAGGACCAUAAAAAGACUGACUGCCCGAGACUAGUAUCAGCAGCGCCAGUGGCGACGCCAGCUCCAACUACCCUGCGGAUCACAGAUGGUCGACAGGGCAAGUCAGAUGCUCCAGUGGUGAGGAGCCGAGCCUUCCAGCUGACCGCCGAGGAGGCACGUGCCGCACCAAAUGUGGUGACGGGUAUGUUUUCUUCUCCCUAACUCUUAUUACAUUUCGGUCGUGUUAUUUAUGUUAUAUGUGUUAUGUGUUUUGUUAGGAUCGUUCCAUGUGAACGACAUUCCAAUACAGUGUUAUUUGAAUCGGGGUCUACCAGAUCAUUUUUCUUUCUUGCAGUUAGCAAGAGAUUUACUGAGUCUUCGGGGAUGUUGGAUUGUCCUCUAGAGGUCGAGAUUGCUGAUGACCGAUCUGUACGAGCAUCGGAGGUUUUCAGAGAUUGCAUUUAGAGGUUAUAUGACAAGCGUUACCUUGUGGACUUGGUUCCCAUUCCAUUAUGUGGGAACAAGGUUAUCAUCGACAUGGAAUGGCUGUGCCCUAAUGAGGCGGUGAUUGACUGUGCGCAUCAGUUGAUGCAGCUCAGGACCCUAAGUGGGGGAGAGCUGAUGAUUCAGGGCGAAAGGUCGUAGCAUGGACUAACUAUGUGUUCGGCAGCGAGGGCUAGAUGUUACCUUCAACAGGGUUGCACAGGGUAUGUCGCUUAUGUAAUAGAUAUCUGGGAGGCGGGUAAGGCGACUGUGAGUGAUGUACUAGUGGUGCGAGAGCUGUUGCGUUUUUUAGCAUUCUAACACUCCUAAGUUUACAUGCAACCCUAAAUACCUUGGAUAUAUGUGUUGGGUUUUCAGCAUUCUAACACUCUUAAGUGUAUAUGCAACCCUAAAUACCUUGGAUCUAUGUUUUCUCUAUUAUACAUACAAAUAUGAACAUCCAAGAUAUUAUCCUAAUCUAGCAUAUAAAAUAAUGAAUAUAACAAGAUAGAAUACAUACCUCUUUCAUGUAGAAGGUCUUCAUGAAGCUUGAGUGCCAAGUGCCCCAAGUGUGACACCUCAAAUGGUUCACACAACACCAAAUACACUUGGAAUAACUUGAGAGAAUUCUACACUUCAUGAAAAUUGGCUAGCCCUCUCUAGAUUGAUACUAGUCGCCGAUUUUGUCAAGAAUAAGAUCUUUAUAUAGUGUUACAAUUAGGGUAAACCCUAAUUGUCACGACUUUCCAUUUCCUUGGAUCCAUGGGUUCAAAUACACCAUGGAGAAUCCAUGGACCAUCCUAUGGGUUUUAGCCCAACUUGAUUAUCCAUGGAGCAUUAGCCCACUAUACAAGUAUGGAUGAUUUACACAAUCAACCCAUAUAUUUAAUUAGUCUUCUUUUGAUCACUUAAUUAAUCCUAGAUUAAUUCUUGAUCAAUACUAAUUAAAUAAUCUUAUUAUUCUUAUUAUUAAUAUACUAGAACUUAUAAUAUAUUAAUAACCAUAAGUGUCUUAUUUCUCUCAUUAUAGUCUAUCCAAGUGCAUGAUGCCAUGCAACCCAAAUGGACCAUGCCGGGUCGGGUCAAGUCUUACCAAUUAUAGUUAUGGACUUAGACAUUAAUCCAACAGUCUCCCACUUGGAUAAGUCUAAAACUAUUAUUGCGUAUGACUUCAGGAACCAACUGGCAAUCGUAGCUCUCAAAAGCUUCUGUCGAACUCUGACCUUGUAGAUGAACUCUGACCUUUGUCAAUGACUUGUCCAUUAGAUAAGGGAUCAUAUAUUCCUCCAUUCUAGAUAUCAUAUGGACUGAGACAUGGAUUAUAAUCAUUCUCUCUGUCCAUUUGUUGUUUCCCGAUUUCCGAUUUAUGACGACUGACUAAUUGAACAAAUCAAAUCAGUCCUGGCCCGGCCGAGCACUUCCAUUUGUCAUCAUCAAAUCAUCGAGGGGCCCACAGAUAUCGCUUUUAUCCCGAAGGUAAAAGGAAUGGAUAAACUUCGACUCAUAUGGCUUGUUCUACUACUUGUUGAAUCAUACACAAAGGCACGUUUUAUAGCACCGAGUUACCAAAUGCGUUUUCGUGCAAUCAAUGUACUAUCAACUCAUAGUAACAACUCAUAUCUCUAGGUUUGAAGAAUAUAAGAUAUUAUCGUCUCAUGAUCACUCGUGAUAAAAUCCAUGAAGUGAUUCCAAUGAGCGCGGGUUGAAUCCAAUACUCAGAACUUAUGAGCACUCAUGAGUGUUGUAGCCCUUUGUCCAACACCUUAGACCUCUACAAGCCAACCCAUGACAGUCUUAAUUCAUAUCUACUUCCAACAUAUGACCGACUGUGGAUGGUUUGAAUAACUUAGUCAUUCCGGAAGAAUAACCUAGUUUAUUCGGGAAGUCAAAACAUGCAAAGUGAAACACAAUAAUAAUUGAAUCCAAUAUGGUAUCAACCCUUUGAACAUAAAUAAAACACCUUUUAUUUAUCACCAUAUGAUUACACAUUAUUCAUUGUAUACUGUUUCAGCUAUCAACUUUAUUCUUGAAUUUAAAACAAUAGUUGUCCCAUGCUCCAAGCAUGUACACUAUGUUUUCUUAAACACUAGUCAUGCCACACACCAAGUAUGCAUACUAUGUUUGUCUAUGAUCUUUACUUUGUGAACUAGAUCAAUUGAACAUAACUUCAAUGAUUCUCUUUUCACACUCCCAAAUCCUUACUGCAAAUGCAAGAAUUCCAAAUUCAUGCCAUUUACUGAAAUCUGUUAGAUUCUAAACUUAUAUGCAUUGAUCCUCUUGUAAUGAUUAUGCACAAAGUCAGAAAGACUUGACAACAAUCAUUACAGAGUAUUCCAAAGGAGAUCAGCUCCUUGGAAACAUCCUUCUUGCAUUAAGUUUCCUAAUCUUAAACAGAUUGAAAAUUCUAACUUUGAAACAUUUCCAGAUUCCAUUUUGACUAUCACUUCUGAACAAGAGUUGCCUCCUUACAGAUUAUGUCAAUAUGGUCCUUCCAGAAUUAUCACUAUACUUCCAACUGUCCUUGAGCAACCAAUCUUUGGUAAACCUUAGAUUGUCCUCGACAAUUGUUUAAUCCUUUUAGUCAUAUCCAGUUCUAAACCUUUUCCCUUCUUAAUGCCCCAGGCAUUUGGAAAAUUUUAGAACGGAUGAAUAUAGCACAUGUAAUCGAUCCUAUAUCCGAAGCAUAUGGGACACGAUUCAUGAUGUCUCACAUAAAGACUAAACCAGUCUUUUGCUAUAACAUUUCCAUUUCAAUUUGCCAAGUUCUCAUAAUUCAGAUUAUGAAAAGGGAUGCCGUAAUCAUAAUCGAAUUUUAGAACGCAAAUAAUGGACCCAUAUACAGAAUUUCCUUAUGUUGAGCCAUUCCAACAUGAAAUUCAUAUAUAUCCUUGACUAAAUGAUUAAAACCUCACGAUCUAAGCUUAUAGAUUUGAGAUGAAGCAUAAUUUCCUCUCCCUUAAUUAUAGCAAAACAACUUUUUCCCAAUUGAAACUUUUGUUUUCUAUAAUUAACAUUGCUAACUUGCAAUACUUAUCAUAAUUAUCAUGCUCCCACUAACAUGAUGAUUAUUAGCAUAACACUUAUGCUCCCACUAGCUUUGACAUGUACUCAGAAAUCAGCUGGACUUCUAGAAAUCAAUACUUCAUUGACUUUCUUACCAAAGUUCAGAUUUCUGAUGCUAGAUUGUUUUGAUAAAACUUUAUCAAAAUCAUACACCUUCCCUUAGAUAGCACACUUGUGUAUCUAAACAAUUAUGAAGAGGGAUGCCGUAAUCAUAAUGUUUAGACCUUUUUGCCACUUCUCACAAGUCCAAAUUAGUGUGCCGGUUAACCACACGCGCUCCACUAACGACUUUGAGAAUGCAAAUAUCACAAUUGCUAUCUAGCUAAAAUCUACUUAGUGAAAGUGUUUCCUCACCAUCAUUUUCAUGAAUCGGAGAGAAACCUUAUGACACUUAGAUUUAAUGGUGUAUGUGUUCUUAUCCAUGUGAAUUGUCAAAAUCAUAGUCACAAGACAAGGAUAAUGACAAAUCCAAACUCAUAUGGACUGAACUCAAUCUUAAUUUCUUGCCACCUGGCAGCUCAAGGGCCUACCAUUGCUUCCAAGUUGUUGUGCAACAAAUUGAGAACUCUAAGAACUCAUAUGCAAAGCCAACUUUAACUGGAAUGGGCACAGAAUAUGUCAACACGAUAGGUUAUGAACCUCAAGUCGUGUGCUAGUGAAGAACUUCAGGUUUUAUUCUUGAUUAGUUCUUGAGACUUUCAAGACCUUUAAGACUCCCACUGUCCUCUUGACAUAUAAGACUCCCUUGUCAAACAUCCAAGAGAUAGUGCGGAUUCUAAUCAAGAAAAACACUUUACCCAAUUGGCCUAAGUUGGUCUUUGUUUUAUCCAAAACAUCACAACUUACCAAUUUCAAAUGUACAAGAGUAGAAAACUUUUACUCUUACAUUUGACAAGUGUUUUAAACCUUCUUUAAGACAUGUCACUCAAAUGACAAUCUUGGAGUAUGACUCUAAGACUUGUAUUGGAACGAAGUAUGACUCAUCUUCUUGAUUUAACCAUUUCAACAAUUCAAGUUCCUCUUCUUAGUCAUAAGAAUGCACUAAGAUUUCCUUAGAGAACUAAUUUUGAUAUGGUUUCUUAAUCAUUAAGAUGAUCACAAAACUGAUACUAAAGUACUCUCCCAUCUUUUCAGAUUUGAGAAACUUUUAUCCUUCUGCCUUAUUUGAUUCUUCUUAUCGAUCUUUAGUGGUGGACUUAAUCAGUGCACAAGAAUGUGUACUCGAUCCCUAAGUCCUUUACUUGACUCACACAUCCAUGUGAACAAGUAAUUAGUCUUAAUUUUCCAAAACUUGAAAGUUCUCAUUCAUCAUGCUAUACAACUUGCAUGAUUCCAAGUUCCGGUCCAAUUGAAACUUGGGUGAUGAGAAUCUUUCCUUAUUUGGUAAAUUUAGACAUUACCACAAAUGAAAGAAUCAAUUUCAUACUUCCACUCUUGCUACUAAUGGAAUCUUAUAAGCAACAAAAAUUUCCACAGAUGCCAUUGUAAGGAUAUUUUAAAAUAAAUAAAAUCAAAAAUUUCCUUUUAUUUUAAAACUUUGCGGAAAAACUAUCCUUACAAUCCAUAUGAAAACUUGUUGUUAUCUAUUCCUAAGCAAUAUCUCAUAACUCCUAAGAAGUAGCUCAAGAAUCCGAUUUUUCAAACUAUGCGAUAGAAAUCCAUCUAUGCGAUCAGAUUCAGCAUAUUCUUCCUUUAAGUUUCUUCACUUUCCUUUGAUUCUUAAACCAUCACCAUGCGACCCGGUCACAUCAUGUAUCAAGAAUCUCAGAAUAGAAACUUAACAGAGUUAGAUAGUGGAUUUUACCUGAAGUAGAGUCAAACUUAUUGACUUUAACAUCCUUAGGUAAAUUUGGCAGCUUCGCAACCAAUGCCCUUUCUUUGGCAAUACAAACAUAUGGACCCUUUGAUAAUGGUACACAGGACUAUCACAGACUUAGCUUUUCUCUUUACCAUUUGGUCAACCGAGUUGACUAUAGCCGAUCCCUUUCCAUUGGGAAGAGAAUGCUUUACUGGAUAUCCAAUGUCAUCAUUGUCAAUGUCCAUAAAGUUUUAGGAAGUUGAUCUUAACAAAUAGAUAAGAUCAUUAAGGGUCUUGUCAUAGUCUUUUUCAUAGGUGUUCCAAAAGAACUCACUAUGUGACUUAGAAAGUAGUUGAACCACCAACUUUCUCAAGACUUUGACACCCAACUCUCCCGGCUUGUCAAUAUGUGACUACAUCUCCAAGAUGUGACCACACCUAGACCUUGCCUUGCCAAAAGGGCCUGAGUGACCUUAAACUUUUCAAGAACUUGUGGGUUAGGGAGAAUAAUUUGAAGAGGUGAAGAAGUAUGAUAUCCAUGGGACAUCAUCUUCAUUAGGAAACCUUGUUUCAAGAGAUUUGGGAAGAUCAUAGGUGUCUAAACCAGACAUCUUUUGGGAGAUAUUCAAGAUAGUUGAUUUAAAGUCCUUAAUAUGACACCCAAUAUGAAAUAUUAAGGCUAGGACCCAACAAACUAUUUUAUAACUUAGAAGAGGUAUGCCGUAAUCCAAGCUAUAAAAUAUUUGAAGGUAGGUGAAUGACGAUUCACCAAUUUCCACCAAGAUAAACGAAAUGUAUUAUUAGGUUUUAAUUGGUUUUGAAACUCCUAGAUCUUUGAGAUUCAUUGAACUUUUCAAAGGCAUGUUUCAAUCUCGAGUGUGCCCUUCAGGUUUUGUGACUGGGAUGCCGAGGAUCACAAAACAAGGUGUGAAGUAACCAUGCAAAUCACUUGGUACCCUUAAUAAAUUACCCCUCAAUCGAUGUGCCGGUUAACCACACACGCUCCAUCGAUACUAUGAUAAAUAUUAAGUCACCCUUUACCUACCUUGUUAAGUCCAAGUUAGUGUGCCGGUUAACCACACACGCUCCACUAACGACUUAGACAAAGUGUAAAGUGUAAUUUCAUGGAUUAGCACCUUAUUCACAUUUUUCCUAAGUAACUAAGAUUGGGUAUUAUUAAGAGUUUAGUUACUUAGUAUUAUCAUUAAUACUUUUAAUGAAGGGAGAAUUCUAGUCCUGUCAAACCCGUUCGGCUAACGACCCUCCACCAGUCAAGCAAGCGGUGGGUGAGAGUGGACACCCAUUAAGUUGCCAUUUUAUAGGCAACAACCUUAUACCCACCUUAUAGACCGGCUUCGUGAAUGAGGCGUACUAGCGGUAAGACUGACUUUACUCUUAUACAUAUAUAUAUUAUUAACUUAUAAUAUUAUAAAGUAUAAGGGUUGAAUUUUAACUUUUAAAAUUCUAAGGGCUAACUUGGAAUUAAAGUAUUCAUAAGUGAAAACUUUACAAAUUCCAAAACUUGAGGGCAAGUUUUGAAACUAUUCAAAACUAAUUAAUUCCAUAACUUAUGUGUUUAAAGUAGUUUUAAUCCAAAAACUCUUCAAGUUCCAUAACUUGAGGACAAGUUAUGGAAGACUUUAAACUAAUAAAAGAAUUAACUUUUCUUUAUUUUAUAACUUAUGGAAUUAAUUAAGGUUACACUUUUUUUUUUUUUAUUUUAUUUUAUUAAAUGAAGAGACUCUUGGUCCUCCAUAACUUGAGGACAAGUUAUGGAGUCAUAAAACCAUUUAAUUAGAACUAGACUCUUCAUUUUUGUAACCUUUGCCAAUUUUUAUGAGUUUUAUGAUUCUUAAAUGUGACUUUUCAUAUAACUUGAGGACAAGUUACAAAAACACAUUUUAGAAUCAAUUCUUAGAUUAAUUUGGAUUAAAACCAACUAUCACAUAAUUUUAUUCAUUAAUCUAAAUUCACUCAUAAAACAAGGUAACACAAAAAACUUUUGGUGAUCCAUAACUUAUUCUUAAGUUAUGGAAUCCUUUAAAACAUUAACACCAAAUUUUGUAACUCCAAAAAAACUUUGAAUCAAUUUUUUUUUUAAAACCUUUUCAUAUCCAUAACUUAUGGAGGUUUCAAAAAAUAAAACUCUUUAGAUCAAACUUUUAAAACUAAUAAAAUAAUCAUAUUAUUUUAUCUUUUAUUAAAUUUGACCUAAUUCAACUCAUAAAGCAAAUUAUUCAAAUUUUACAAAUAAUUAGUUUUUCACAAGAACAAGUAAUUAUCUUAAAAUUUGACAAACUUCAUGUUUUUUUUUUUUUUUUUUUUCAACUUUGAAAAUAAAAUAUUUGCAUCAAUAUAACAGAAAACAACCCGUGGCUCUGAUACCACUGUUGGGUUUUGAGCAUUCUAACACUUCCUAAGUGUACAUGCAACCCUAAAUACCUUGGAUCUAUGUUUUCUCUAUUAUACAUGCAAAUAAGAACUUCCAAGGUAUUAUCCUAAUCUAGCAUAUAAAAUAAUGAAUAUAACAAGAUAGAAUACAUACCUCUUUCAUGUAGAAAGUCUUCAUGAAGCUUGAGUGCCAAGUGCCCCAAGUGUGACACCUAAAAUGGUUCACACAACACCAAAUACACUUGGAAUAACUUGAGAGAAUUCUACACUUCAUGAAAAUCGGCAAGCCCUCUCUAUAUAGUGUUACAAUUAGGGUAAACCCUAAUUGUCAUGACUUUCCAUUUCCUUGGAUCCAUGGGUUCAAAUACACCAUGGAGCAUCCAUGGACCAUCCUAUGGGUUUUAGCCCAACUUGAUUAUCCAUGGAGCAUUAGCCCACUAUACAAGUAUGGAUGAUUUACACAAUCAACCCAUAUAUUUAAUUAGUCUUCUUUUGAUCACUUAAUUAAUCCUAGAUUAAUUCUUGAUCAAUACUAAUUAAAUAAUCUUAUUAUUCUUAUUAUUAAUAUACUGGAACUUAUAAUAUAUUAAUAACCAUAAGUGUCUUAUUUCUCUCAUUAUAGUCUAUCCAAAUGCAUGAUUCCAUGCAACCCAAAUGGACCAUGUCGGGUCGGGUCAAGUCUUACCAAUUAUAGUUAUGGACUUAGACAUUAAUCCAACACUCUGUUUUGUUUAUUAUACAUGCAAAUAUGAAUAUUCCAAGGUAUUACCCUAACUAGCAUACAAUCUUUUGAUACUUGGGUAAUAAAAUGGAUAGAAUACAUACCUUGUUGAUGCAGCUUGACUCCAUGAAGCUCGAGAGCCUAGUUCCCCAAGUGUGACACCUCAAAUGGUUCAAACAACAUCACCAACACAUGGAAUAACCAUGAGAAAAAGACACAUGAACUCUAGAAAUCGGCUUGCCCUCUUGUGUAUACACUCGUGCCCAAUUUCACCAACCAAUGGGGUCUUUAUAUUGUGUGGCUAUUAGGGUUACACCACAUAAGUCAUGACUUUACCCAUUCCUUAUGCUCCAUGGGUUUUAACCUCCAUGGAGUAUCCCUGGGUCACCACAUGGGUUAAAACCAACAUAAGGAAUCUUGGAUCAUAAGCUCACAUAUAUAAGAAUUAAUGAUUUACACAGUCAAUCCCCAUAUAUUUAAUUAGUCUCUUUUGAUCACGAAAUGAAGUCCAAAUUAAUUCUUGAUCAAUACUAAUUAAAUAACAUGAUUUCAUAUUAAUAUAUUAGAACUUAUAAUAUAUUAAUUUGUCACAAAUGUCCUCUUCUCACAAACGGUCUAUCCAAAUGUUCCGAUGCCAUGCAACCCAAUGCGGUCACAAACGGUCUAUCCAACAGUCUCCCACUUGGAUAAGUCUAAAACUAUUAUUGAGUAUGACUUUCAAAACCAAACUGGCAAUCGUAGCUCUCAAAAGCCGUUGUCGAACUCUGACCUUGUCGAUGAACUCUGACCUUUUUCAAUGACUUGUCCAUUUGAUAAGGGAUCAUAUAUUCCUCCAUUCUAGAUAUCAUAUGGACUGAGACAUGGAUUAUAAUUCAUUCUCUCUGUCCAUUUGUUGUUUCCCGAUUUCCAAUUUAUGAUGACUGGCUGAUUGAACAGAUCAAAUCAGUCCUGGCUUGGCCAAGCACUCACAUGUGUCAUCAUUAAAUCAUUGAGGGGCCCACAGAUAUCACUUUUAUCCCGAUGGUAGAAGGAAUGGAUAAACUUCGACUCAUAUGGCUUGUUCUACUACUUGUUGAAUCAUACACAAAGGCACGUUUUAUAACAUCGAUUUACCAAUGCAUUUUAGUGCAAUCAAUGUAUAACCAACUCAUAGUAACAAAUAAUAUCUGUAGGUUUGAAGAAUAUAAGAUAUUAUCGUCUCAUGAUCACUCGUGAUAAAAUCCAUGAAGUGAUUCCAAUGAGCGUGGGUUGAAUCCAAUACUUAGAACUUAGGAGCACUCAUGAGUGGUGUAACACCACUUUGUCCAACAACUUAGACCUCUACAAGCCAACCCAAGACAGUCUUGAUUCAUAUCUACUUCCAACAUAUGACCGAUUGUGGAUAGUUUGAAUAACUUAGUAAUUCAGGAAGAACGACCUAGUUAUUCUGGAAGUCAAAACAUGCAAAGUGAAACACAAGAAUAAUUGAAUCCAAUAUGGUCUCAGAACUUAUGAAUAUAAAUAAAACAUUUUUUAUUUAUCACCAUAUUGAUUACCCAUCAUUCAUUGCAUACUGUUUCAAACUAUCAACAUUAUACUUGAAUUAAAACAAUAGUUGUCCCAUGCUCCAAGCAUGUACACUAUGUUUUUCUAAACACUAGUCAUACCAUACACUAAGUAUGCAUACUAAGUUUUUUUUAAUGAUCUUUACUUUGUGAAAGAGAUCGAUUGAACAUAAUUCCAAUGAUUCUCAUUUCACACUCCCAAUCCUUACCGUAAAUGCAGGAAUUCCAAAUUCAUGCCAUUUACCGAAAUCUGUUAGAUUCUAAACUUAUAUGCGUUGAUCCUCUUGUAAUGAUUAUGCACAAAGUCACAAAGACUUGACAACAAACAUUACAGAGCAUUCCAAAGGAGAUCAACUCCUUGGAAACAUCCUUCUUGCAUUAAGUUUCCUAAUCUUACACAUAUUUAUUGAACAACUUCCACCUUCCCAUACUCCCAUUUUGACUAUCACUUCUUAACAAGAGUUGCCUUUUUUCAGAAUAUGUCAAUAUGGUCCUUCCAAAAUUAACAUUAUACUUCCAACUGUCCCUGAUCAACCAAUCUUUGGUAAACCUUAGAUUGUCCUCGACAAUUGCUUAAUCCUUUUAGUCAUAUCCAAUUCUAAACCUUUCCUUUCUUAAUGCCCCAGGCAUUUGGAAAAUUUUAGAAAUGAUGAAUAUUAUAGCACAUGUAAUCGAUCCUAUAUCCGAAGCAUAUGGGACACUAUUCAUGAUGUCUCACAUAAAGACAUGAUACUAGACUAGUCCUUUUGCUACAAUAUUUCUGUUUGCCAAGUUCUCAUAAUUCAGAUUAUGAAAAGGGAUGCCGUAAUCAUAAUCGAAUUUUAGAACGCAAAUAAUAGACCCAUAUAUAGAAUUUCCUUAUGUUGAGCGCAACACAAAAUUCAUAUAUAUUGUUGACUAAAGAUGAUUAAAACCUCAAUCUAAGCUUUUAGAAUUGGAAUGAAGUAUAAUUUCCUCUCCCUUAAUUAUAGCAAAACAAUUUUUCAACUCCUGCAACUCCACGAAUUGAAACUUUUGUUUUCUAUAAUUAACAUUGCUAACUUGCAACCUUUAUCAUAAUUAUGAUUCUCCCACUAACAUGAUGAUUAUUAGCAUAUCACUUAUGCUCCCACUAGCUUUGACAUGUACUCAGAAAUCAGCUAGACUUCUAGAAAUCAAUAUUUUAUUUACUUUCUUACCAAAGUUCAGACUUCUGAUACGAGAUGCUUUGAUAAAAACUUUAUCAAAAUCAUACACCUUUCCUUAGAUAGCAUGCAGGUGUGUCUAAACAAUUUCAAAACUAUGAAAAGGGAUGCCGUAAUAGAAAUCUGUCAAAACGAUAGGUUAUAAACCUCACGUCGUGUGCUAGUGUUAAACUACGAGUUUUUAUUCUUGAUUAGAUCUUGAAAUUCUUUUCAGGAUCUUUAAGACUCCCACUGUCCUCUUCACAUAUAAGACUAUCUUGCUAACUAUUCAAGAGAUAGUGGAGAUUCUUUAUCAAGGCAAACACUUCACACAAUUGGCCUUAGUUGGUCUUUGUUUUAUCCAAAACAUCACAACUUACCAAUUUCAAAUGUACAAGAGUAGGAUGCUUUUACUCUUACAUUUGACUAGUGUUAAGAAACCUUCCUUUAAGAUUGAUAUUUCACUCAAGUUACAAUCUUGGAGUAUGACUCUAAGAAUUGUUUUUGGAACGAGGUAUGAAUCAUCUUCUUGAUUUGACCACUUCAACAAUUCAUAGCUCCUCUUCUUAGCUAUCAGAAUGCACUUAGAGGAUGAAUUGUGAUAAGGUCUAUUAAUCAUUAAGACGAUCAUAUAACAUGAUACUAAAGUACUCUCCCAUCUUUUCAGAUUUGAGAAACUUUUAUCCUUCUGCCUAAUUUGAUUCUUCUCAUUCGUUUUGCAAUACAUCAAAAUUUUCCCAAUGUAUCAGAAUUACACUUAAACUGGUAAGUAUAACCAUAUUUACUAAACUUUAGUUAAACAUGAUGAAUAUUCUUAUCGAUCUUUUGUGGUGUACUUGAUCAGUGCACAAGAAUGUGUAUUCGAUCCCUUAGUCCUUCACUUGACUCACAUAUACAUGUGAACAAGGAACUAGUCUUAAUUUUCCAAAGCUGAAAGUUCUCAUUCAUCUUACUGUACAACUUGUAUGAUUUCCAAGUUUCUAUCCAACUGAAACCUUGGAUGAUGAGAAGCUUUCCUUAUUUGGUAAAUUUAGACACUAUCACAAAUGAUAGGAUCAAAUUCAUAUUUUCAAUAUUGCUAGAAACAUACAAACAUCAAGUUUUCAUAAAUGCCAUUGCAAGGAGAUAUAAAAUAAAGUAAAAAAACUUUUAUUUAUUUAUAAAAUGCGGAAAAAACUUUUCUUUACAAUGCAACUUUAAAUGAAAACUAUGCUAUUACAUGUUUCCUAGCAAUCUAUCAUAACUCCUAAGAGUUGCUCAAGAAUCUGAUCUUUAAUCAAGCAAUAAAAAUACAUCUUCACGAUCAGAUUCAGCAUACUCUUUUUUUUUAAGUUUCCUUCACUUUUCCUUUGAUUCUUAAAACAUGAACAUGUGACCCAGUCACAUCAUGUAAUAAGAAUCUCAGAAUAGAAACUUAACCGAGUUAGAUAGUGGGCUUUACCUGAAGUAGAGUCAAACUUAUUGACUUUACCAGCCUUAUGAUCUUCAGGUAUAUUUGGCAGUUUCGCAACCAAUUCCCUUUCCUUUUGGCAAUAGAAGCAUAUGGACCCUUUGGGAAUGGUACAUGGGAUAAUCUCAGACUUAGCCUUUCUCUUUACCAUUUGGUUAACCAAGUUGACUAUGGCCAAUCGUUUUCAACAGGGAAAAGAAAGCUUUUACUGGGUAUCCAAUGUAACCAUUGUCAAUAUCCAUUGAUGGUUUGGAAAGUUGAUCUUCUAAUCAAAUUUUCUUUACUAGUCCUUAAAUCAUUUCUGAUUCAGCUGCACUAAGCAAAUAGAUAAGAUCAUUAAGGGUCUUGUCAUAGUCUGUUUCAUAGUAGUCCCAAAGGAACUCACUAUGUGACUUAGAAAGUGAUUAAACAUCCAACUUUCUUAAGACUUUGACACCUAACUCUCCCGGGUUGUCAAUAUGUGACUUUAUCUCCAAGAUGUGAGCACACAUAGACCUUGCUUGCCAAAAGGGCUAGAGUGACCUUGAACUUGUGGGUUAGGGAGAAUAUUUAGAGGAGGUGAAGUUUCAAGAGAUUUGGGAAGAUCAUAAAUGUCUGAACCAAACAUCUUUUUGGGAGAUAUUCAAGAUAGUUGAUUUAAAUUACUUAAUAUAACACCCAAUAUGAAAUAUUAAGGCUAGGACCCAACACAAUAUUUUAUAACUUGGAAGAGGGAUGUCGUAAUCCAAGCUAUAGAAUAUUUGAAGGUAGGUGAAUGAUGAUUCACCAAUUUCCACCAUGAAAAACAAAAUAAUGUAUUAGGUUUUAAUUGGAUUUGAAACUCCUAGAUCUUUUGAGAUUCAUUGAACUAUUUAAUGUCAUGUUUCAAUCUCGAGUGUGCCCUUCAAGUUUUGUGACUGGGAUGCCGAGGAUCACAAAACAAGGUGUGAAGUAACCAUGCAAAUUACUUGGUACCCUUAAUAUUUACCCCUUAAUCGAUGUGCCGGUUAACCACACGCACUCUACCGAUACUAUGAUAAACAUUAAGUUACCCUUUUCCUACCUUGUUAAAUCAAGCUAGUGUGCCGGUUAACCACAUAUGCUCCACUAACCGACUUAAGCAACGUGCAAAGUGUAAUUUCAUGGAUUAGCACCAUAUUCACAUUUUCCUAAAGUAAAUAAGAUGGGGAAUUAUAAAAAUAUUUAGUUACUUUAUAUUUAUCAUUAAUACUUUUAAUGAAGGGAGAAUUAUAGUCCUUGUCCUACCAGUUCGGCAAAGACCCUCCACCAGUCAAGGAAGCGGUGGGUGAGAGUGGACACCCAUUAAACUGCCAUUUUAUAUGCAGUAACCUUAUACCCCNGUAUAUGGGUUGAAUUUUAACUUUUAAAAUUCUAAGGGCUUAACUUGGAAUUAAAGUAUUCAUAAGGGAAAACUUUUCAAAUUCCAAAACUUGAGGGAAAGUUUUGAAACUAUUCAAAACUAUUCAAUUUUCAUAACUUAUGUGUUUAAAGUAGUUUUAAUCCAAAAACUCUUCAAGUUCCAUAACUUGAGGACAAGUUAUGGAAGACUUUAAACUAUUAAAAGAACGUGACUUUUCUUUAUUCAUAACCUAUGAAAAUAUUUAUGAGUUUUAUGAAUCUUAAAUUUGAAUUUUCAUAUAACUUGAGGACAAGUAACAAAAACACAUUUUAGAAUCAACUCUUAGAUUAAUUUGGAUUGAAAACAAUAAUUUCACAUAACUUUCCUAUUAAUCUAAGCAACUCAGAAGAACAAGAUAAUUCAAAUCAAACUUUUUCAUGUAAUUAGCCUAAACCUUAAACUAAUACAAAACAUGAAUCUAUUGACAAUUAUCUUUGAAAUUGGAUUAGCAUGAACAUUACCACAUCAAAAACAGGUUUAUAAGUUGAAAAAUAGCUCAGGGUAAUGUUCCUAGUCCAUUUCCAGCCAAAACAGUCAAAGAUAUGCUGUCUGGGGGUCCAACUUGUCGAGUGCAUGAACCAACUCGACGAGUUGGAUCGUUUUGAACACUUUUAUGGCAUGGAAUCGUUGAGUCAACUGAUGGACUCGCCGAGUCCGUUGUCCAGACAGCAAAAAACUUCGAUUUUUAAGCAGAUUUUGCAAGUAUAACAAGAAAACAAGCCUAGGCUCUGAUUCCACUGUUGCGUUUUUGAGCAUUCUAACACUCCUAAGUGUACAUGGAACCCUAAAUACGUUGGAUAUAUGUUUUCUUUAUUAUACAUGCAAAUAUGAAUAUUCCAAGGUAUUACCCUAACUAGCAUACAAUCUUUUGAUAAAAUUGGGUAAUAAAAUGGAUAGAAUACAUACCUUGUUGAUGUAGCUUGACUCCAUGAAGCUCGAGAGCCUAGUGCCCCAAGUGUGACACCUCAAAUGGUUCACACAACAUCACCAACAUAUAGAAUAACCAUGAGAAGAAGACACAUGAACUCUAGAAAUUGGCUUGCCCUCUUGUGUAUACACUCGUGCUCAAUUUCACCAACCAAUGGGGUCUUUAUAUAGUGUGGCUAUUAGGGUUACACCAUGUAAAUCAGGACUUUACCCAUUCCUUUUGCUCCACGGGUUUUAACCUCCAUGGAGUAUCCAUGGGUCACCACAUGGGUUAAACCCAACAUAAGGAAUCUUGGAUCAUCAACCCACGUAUAUAAGAAUUAAUGAUUUACACAAUCAAUCCCCAUAUAUUUAAUUAGUCUCUUUUGAUCACUAAAUUAAGUCCAAACUAAUUCUUGAUCAAUACUAAUUAAAUAACAUGAUCUCAUAUUAAUAUAUUAGAACUUAUAAUAUAUUAAUAUGUCACAAAUUUCCUCUUCUCACAAACGGUAUAUCCAAAUGUUCCGAUGCCAUGCAAUCCAAAUGGACCAUGCCGAGUCGGGUCAUGUACAUACCAAUUAUAGUUAUGGAUUUAGACACUAAUCCAACAAGAGUACCCAGACGUAUUUCCAGAGGAGCUGCCUGGGAUACCUCCGGAGAGACAGGUGGAGUUCAGGAUCGACCUAGUCCUUGGUGCGGCUCUGAUAGCCAAGGCACCAUAUCGGUUGGCUCCUCCUGAGAUGCAGGAGUUGUCUUCACAACUGUAGGAGCUGUUAGAUAAGGGGUUUAUCAGACGGAGCAGUUCGGCUUGGGGAGCCUCGAUCAUGUUUGUGAAGAAGAAGGACAGGUCGCAUCAGAUGUGUAUAGACUACAGGGAGCUGAAUAAAGUAACAGUGAAGAACCGUAACCCACUCCCGAGGAUUGAUGAUCUUUUCGACCAGCUUCAGGGGCAUCUUGGUUUUCCAAGAUAGAUUUUCGUUCAGGCUACCACCAGAUGCGAGUCAGAAACGAUGAUGUACAGAAGACUGCUUUUCGUACUCGUUAUGGCCACUACGAGUUCGUGGUGAUGCCCUUCGGGCUCACCAAUGCUCCUUCCGCGUUCAUGGACCUCAUGAACCGCGCAUGCAGAACGAUGUUGGAUCGUUCUGUGGUAGUCUUUAUUGAUGACAUCUUGGUUUACUCCAAGAUGUAGGAGCAGCACAAGGAGCACUUGCGGGAGGUUAUGGAUACCCUGAGGAAGGAGAGCUUGUAUGCCAAGUUCUCCAAGUGUGAGUUCUGGUUCCGCAAGGUGCAGUUUCUGGGGCAUCUUGUCAACCAGAAUGGUAUUUUGGUCGACCCGCCCAAAGUAGAGGUCGUGAUGACAUGGGAGGUUCCAAAGUAUCCAUUUGAGAUUCAGAGUUUCCUCGGGUUAGCAGGCUAUUACCGAAGAUUCAUACAUGAUUUCUCCAAGAUAACAGUACCCUUGACCCGACUGACAAAGAAGGUCGUUGUUUUUCGAUGGGGGCCUGAGCAGCAUGAAAUGUUUGAGACUUUGAGAAAGAGAUUGUGCGAGGCACCGAUCUUAUCCCUGCCAGAGGGCGUAGAGGAUUUUGUAGUCUACUGUAACGCGUCCAUCUCGGGUUUGGGCGCAGUAUUGAUGCAGAGGGGGUAUGUCAUCGCUUACGCCUCGAGGCAGCUGAAGCCUCACGAGGCGAACUACCCGAUGCAUGAUCUGGAGUUGGGGGCGGGUUUUUUCGCCCUCAAUAUUUGGUGACAUUAGCUCUAUGGGGUCCGUUGUACCAUUUACAUGGAUAAAAAGAGUUUAAGGUACCUCAUGGAUCAGCCGAAUCUGAACAUGAGGCAGUGUCGGUGGCUAGACGUGGCGAAGGAUUACGACUGCGAGAUCCUCUACCACCCGGGGAAGGCCAACAUUGUGGUCGAUGCUCUUAGCCGCAAGGCAGUUCCGAUCAGAGAUAUUUGCUUGCGGAUGACAGUAAUGACUCCGCUGUUAGAGCUGAUCUAAGAGGCCCAACAAGAGGCUAUGAAGGAGGAUUAUUGGAAGAGCGAGCGUAUUGUGGGCAAGGUUUCCUCCUUCAACUAUGAUAGUCGCAGGUUGUUGACACUACACCGUAGAGUGUAGGUCCCAUAUCAUGGAGGUGCGCUCCAGGUUCUGAUGGAGGAGGCACACAAAUCCAGUUUUUUUCUAUUCAUCCCGGGGCGACGAAGAUGUACAGAGAUCUUCGCCCUGAUUACUGGUGGCCUUGCAUGAAGCGGGAUGUAGCAUGGUACGUCGAGAGACGCUUGACCUGCAGGAAGGUCAAGGCAGAGCACCAGAGGCCUCACAACAAGACGCAAUCAUUAGAUAUCCCUGUGUGCAAGUGGGAGGAUAUUACUAUUGAUUUGAUCACGAAGCUUCCAAGGACCGCCCGAGGAGUGGAUUCGAUUUGGGUCAUCAUGGAUCGGUUGACCAAGAGUGUCAAUUUCAUCCCGAUCCAGGAGAGUAUUUCGGCCGAGAAACUGGCCGACAUUUACAUCCGAGAGGUAGUAGCUUGACACGGAGUGCCAAUUUCCAUGAAUUAUGAUCGAGACGUGCAAUUUACUUCUAGAUUCUGGAAGAAAUUCCAUGACGAGUUAGGUACUCGUCUGCAUUUUAGCACGAGUUUUCACCCUCAAACGGAUGGUCGGAGUGAGCGGACCAUCCAAACCUUAGAUUACAUGCUGCACACAUGCAUAUUAGACUUUGGUGGUAGUUGGGAUACCUACCUUCCCUUGGCAGAGUUUUCUUACAAUACUAGCUACCACUCGAGUAUCGACCGUCCUCCCUUCGAGAUGUUGUAUGGGAGGAAGUGCAGGACCCCGAUAUGCUGUGGAGAGGUCGGGUAGAGGUUCAUGUGACAACCAUCACUUUCUAGUCAAGUCAAAGUCAAAUAAAGUCAACAAGUCAAACCGGUCAACUCAAUUAACACAUGUAUAUUAGGGUUUACAUUAUGUUUACUAUUGUACAACACACCAUCCUAAUGCAAAUCAUCACUUAGAGUUUUCAGUUGUUCAGAAAAUCUAAACCCUAAUCAGGGUAAGUGAUGGAACUACUCGAUAAAACAUUAUUACAUACCCUUCGGGAGCGUAUAACACUCAUAAAAAGGCUUAAUGGGGUUUACAAACCUUGCAUCACGAGGCUAAACAUUAACAAAGGUCACAAACAAAGUCUCUCUCACUCUCUCUCUCGCUAUAUCUCUCUCCCAAAUCUCUCUCAAAAUCUCUUUCAACUGAACACUCAGGGCAUCCCGACCCCUAACAUAGUCAAAAAUCACUCGAAACGGGAAGAGUAAUGGAAAAACAGCUUAAAGGGGGCUAAGCCUCUUAGGACCCGAAGCUAGCCAUAAGGAACUGAACCCUAAGGAACCAAAACCCUAAAGAUCGAAAUAGCUCUUAAGAACUGAACCUGCUUAAGGACCGAACUCAUCCUUCGGUUCGGAUCAAGCCUCUUCGGACCGAAGCUUCGUCUGCUUUUGGUUCAUUUCGCCUUCACUUCCCACAUAAUACCUUCGCCUGUGAGACUUAUCGGAUCAACCUACUUUCGGUUCUCAACCUCCUUGGACUGAACUUUUGGUUCUAACCAUCAAAACUUCGCAGGUUCGCCUCUUGGUCCCGGUUUUCGACCACUUUCGCGUUUUAAGCCCGUUUUUCAUGAUUUUAACGUGGGAUUUUCACCCAAACUCAUAUUUUGACAUAUAAGACCCCAUAUAUUCAUAUUUUAAUCAUAUUUUAGGGGAAAUCUCUAACUACGGAUAAUAUCUUUUGUGUAAGAUAUUGUCUAAGAGUGUUGACUUUUCCCAUAAAGCUAUGACACCAACCACUCCCAUACCCACUCCACGACAUAUUCAUGUCACUAUUCACCUGUAUCUAAUCAACUAUCUGUACUCUCACCCUUCUUCAACAAGUUUCCACACCUUCUAUCUUACAAGCAAAGCCUAGAAAUCCUUAUCUCUCCUCCAUGAUAUUCACUUCUCACCUAAAGCAAAUUUAUCUCUCUUUUUCCCUUUCUCUCUCUAAAAACUCGAAACUCAAGGGCUGAUCUUGAGCUUAUCAUCCACUUUUGGUAAGUACCUUCAUCCUACUCUUGAAUAUUCUACUCUCCUUCACACAAAUCAUGGAUCUCUCACACAAAUAUUAUCAUAUUUGUUCUUAGGAUCUUCAAAUCUUCAAGCAUCUUCCAAGUGUUCUUGACUUGGAAAAGUAUUUUCUUCAACAUCCAUCCCAAGAAAUCACUCAAGGUGAGUUUAUACCCCUAAAUUUUCAUGUUUUCUUCAAGUUUUAGGGGGGGCGGGGGNAGCUUUCACAGAAAAGUUGAGUUCUAUUCACGGACUGUUUUGACCAUCUUAAACUUAAUAUCUUUCAAAACUGUUUAAUAUGCAAGUAGUUCAGGUUUAUACCUUUCUAAUGACUACUUUCACAUGUUCAUACAAUUUUUCUACUAUUUAUGGAGAUUUUUACAAAACUGUCUAUCAUUUUAGCAACAAAUUCGGACCGGUCUGUGAAUAUGAACAUUUUCACACAAGUUAGAGACUUCUAAAAAAUCACAAUAAAAAUUAUGAACAAACUAGACACAUUUUCUAAACUCUUAGAGUUUACGGAUUCAGUUUUCGACUUCGUAUGAUUUUUCUGUGAUUUUUCUAAAACAAUGCCGAAAAGUUAAAAACUAGUUUCAUAGCUUACAAUAUUAACAACACUUUGUAACAUGUUGAGCAAAGUGUAUACUUAUAAGUUUCUAAAUGUUGAAAUGUAUUUCUUGUUAGUUUAACGUCAUAAAAAGAAAUUAGUCAUUCAUGAUAAGGGUUUUCAUUCGCUUCGAACACGUACAAUAAACUAUAAUAGGUAUAGUUUAUGGAUUUUACAUUACAAACGUACUACAUAAAAGGGGAUUUACUUCCACCGCAGAAAAGGUCUUAUAUUCAAACCACACGUAAAUUCGUUAAUGUAAAUUGUGAGACAUUGCUUCAUUGUACUCAUAGAGUACCGGUUAAAAUUCCUGUAAGUUAUAACCAGUGUCUCUUGUAAGGAGAGCGUGAUAAUUGUAUAUAGAUCUAUAUUGGGAUUGACACCCCACACCUUGCUGCUAGCUACAGUGGUACCUGUAGGUCUACGGGUGACAAAUGUCAUAACAGUUUCGACGCCUGAAGAACGUCGCAACAGGUUUACUCUGUCAUAGUAUGGUAAUAGCGACUCGCAUAGGGAGAUAAUGACACAUAUAGUUUACAGGAAUUUCUACUUUAAAAAGGGUUUUAUUUACUUUAAAACUGCAUACAACGUUACAAGUACGUAACACAUACAUACAUUCGGUCUUGGGAUUUAAGACUACAUAACAUUUUAUAAGGAAAACAUUGGAUUUUUCUUGAAGUAUACAUUACAAUUACAAUCAAAGGUUUUCAAACUUUACAUCCAAAAGCAGAAGAGCUACGCCGGCAAAUGUCGAUCGGACCUGGAGUUCCAGGUCGGGAAUUGGGUUCUCAUGAAGGUGCCACCUUGGAAAGGUGUCAUCCGGUUAAAUAAGCGGGUCAAGUUAGGCCCAUGUACAUUGGACCAUUCAAGGUUUCAGCCCAGGUGGGCAAGGUGUCGUAUAGGCUGGAUCUCCUAGCCGAGCUUAGCCAGAUCCAUAGUAUCUUUCAUGUCUCCCAGCUGUGGAAGUGUCUGGUAGACGACUCUGCGGUGGUACCUCUAGAGGAUAUCCAGGUCGACGACAGCCUGAACUACAUUGAGGAACCGGUAGCCAUCCUUGAUAGGAAGAUGAAGGAUCUGAGAAACAAGAAGGUCGAGUUGGUGAAGUUGUAGUGGCAGCACCGCAAGGGAUCAGAAUGGACUUAGGAGCCAGAGGACGAGAUGAGGGAGCACUACCUCGAGCUUUUUCUGGAUGCAACAACAGACUUAGAGGACGAAGUCUAAAAUGAGUUGUGGAGAUUUGUAACGCCCAGUUCCUGGUAUGUAUUUUCAAUAAGAAUUUUUUAUUUUUGCAAAGGGACUCGAGUAGGAAAGGGAGAAGUUUGGACAUGGGACUUAAAGUAUACUAGACGAGUCGAGGAGCCUCGACUCUAUGAGUAGAACUGCCAGAGUGAAACCCUAAAUUUUUAGGUUUUGCACCCUAUCUACUCCUAAUCCUUAAUUCCACAUAUGUACACGAUAGAACUUGAACCCUCAACCUGAAGGAGGAAGGGCAACACCUGAUACCGUUGGGCUCGAAGCCCUUUGGUGUCUUUCAUUUUCUAUUCCAUGCUUCCACUACUUAAAACCCUAUAGUGUAACAACGGAAAAUUUAAAACAAAUUUUUUAUUUCUUAAAAUAUAUUUCCAUCACAUAAGUCAUCAAAAUCCAAUGUAUCAUGUCAUAAUACAAUCGUAUAAAUCCCAAGAUCAUAAAUCUUCCAUCAGUGUGUACAGAUCACGCCGGCGCCUUCCCACGGUCCUCGCUAGUACCUGAAACACAUAUCAUAAAAUCUGUAAGCAUAACUGCUUAGUGAGUUCCCCAAAAUACAACCUACGCACGUACGCCUUUCCAGGACCUGACCUUCUGGUCCAUGUAUCUCAGGGGACUUCCGUUCCGACUAGGUAGACCUUCCGGUCCUACCCACGCCAACCUUACGGUCCACAUUACAACGCCUUCCGGCCCAUAACAUAUUCGCCUUCCGGCCCAUAACAUAAUGCCUUCCGGCCCAUAUCAAGCAUAUCAUACAUGGCACAUAUAACAAUUAACUUAUCACAUAUAACACAUAUAUCUCAUAUCAUAUCCGACCUUCCGGUCACACAAUCAACCCUUUCGGGUAUAGUAUAGUGAGAAGACUCACCUCGAGUAUCUCGAUAACUCGCGAAUCCUGGAAAUCACUCGUGCUCGAUCCUCCGAGCUAUAAUCCUCCUAUAACAUCAUAUGUCUCAUAAUUAACACUUUUACCACUAAGGUUGACUACCCCUAUCAAGUCAACACUGGUCAACUCUGGUCAACGGUCAACGGUCAACUUUGACCGGACUCGGCGAGUGCACUAGAGCGACUCGGCGAGUCUAUACGUGUUCACUGACUCCCUAGGAUCCUCUUUUGACACGUCGAGUACUUCCCUGACUCGACGAGUUCCACCUGGCAUGAAUCGUGGGGCCACCACGACUCAACUCGCCGAGUCUCAAGAACAACUCGGCGAGUUCCAGCUCGACUCAGUCCACCUGUCAACCCUCUCUAACUCUCCCUGACUCACUGAGUCAACCCUUAACUCGGCAAGACCACUCGCUGAGUGGUUAAGGACAAUCUUCAUGCUACUCGCCGAGUCUGUUCUUCAGACUCGGCGAGUCCAUGCCAUGCAUCAACUCAAACUUGCUUCUGAGGUCAGAUCCGCUCCAACAAUUCAUAGAUCUGGCCCUCCUAAGUUUAUUCAUCACGUAAAGUUCAUGUCUUGGUGCUCAUAACACAUUCCAUGGCUCAUAAAUGAUGUUUUGACCUUAAGCAUAAAGAUCCAAACCCGAAACCCCCAUGGAUCUAUAAAAAGUUGGGACAGAGGGACACUCUGGGCCUCCAAGGGUCCAGAUCCAGAACCUAAGUCACUAAAGGGACCAAGGAAGCACUAGAUCUAGCCACAAAAGGCUCAAUAAGCCUUAAAUCAAUAUAAACAUCAACAUAACAGAGAAUAGCUCGAAGGUAGUACCUCAAAUGUGAUGUUCUGGACCUCAAAUCUUCAGGAAGUGGCUCCUCUUGAUUUCCCUUAGCUAUUGCUUCCUUUUCCUUGCAAUGUAACACCUCCAAUGUCAAUAAUGGCUCCUUGCUUUGCUCCAAACGCUCAAACUCGCUAGGGUUUCACUCAGGGGGCUGGUGGGUACAAAUGACGGCCUUAAGGCCCUUUAAAUAGGUCCCAAACCCGAGAAAUUAGGGUUUCAUUAAACAGCGCGGACUCGCCGAGUCCAUACCCUGGACUCGCCGAGUCCAGGCGCGAACCCGCGUCCAGAACCGCGAUCCUACCCGGCGAGUCUGAGCUCCAACUCGCCGAGUCCCCUCACAAAAAACCAAAAACAUAAGCAUAAAAGAUACCUGGAAAUCCGGGCUGUUACAUAUAGAAUAAGAACAUGCAUAAAGAAAUAAAAAAAAAAACUAGUUUGAUUUUUUCUGAUGCUAGUUUAUUCACGUAUUUUGGAAGCCAAAAAGGAAGAAAAAUGGUAGCCCCUUUUUUUUUGUAGAUAUGUGUCUUAAAAACCUUUAUAAAAUGACAUUACAUAUACAACAUUUUUUCCUUCUUUGUCAAAGUUUCAUUAUUAUAAGAAGAGCAAACUUCUAAAGNUAUAUAUAUAUAUAUAUAUAUAUUGUAAUGCCCGGUUCCUGGUAUGUAUUUUAAAUAAGAAUUGUUCAUUUCUGCAAAGGGACUCAACUAGUGGAAGCCCCAAACUCGUCGAGUAGGAAAGGGAGAAGUUAGGACGUAGGACUUAAAGUCUACUCGACAAGUUGAGGAGCCUGGACUCGAUGAGUAGGACUGCUAGAGUGAAAGCCCAAUUUUUAGGGUUUGCAUCCUAUUUGAAGACCUUAACACUCCAUUUUGGCCUCUCUCAUCGCCUCCCUUAGUCCAGAAAACCUUAACUCGAAACCCUAGCCCAUUUUGUUUGUUCUUGAGCCACUGUUGUGUGUUUUUGGUGGUGUUGAAGCUUGAGAAGGAAGAGGAAGCUUGGGAGAUCAAGAUGAAACAAGUAGAUCUAGAGUUUGUGCUCCAUUUCCAUCUCAUUUGAGGUAUAAAGUUUAUACCUUGUCCAUUCAUCUAUUAGAUCUCUUCUUGGAGAAGUUUAAGGCUUUAAGGAGCCAUUUUUAGAACCAUUCAUGAAUUCAAGUAUGUCAUGGGGUAUUGACUUCAGAUCCAGAGUCUUUGAGGGACUCCAUGGCAUAAAGGUGCCAACUUUAUGGCCAUGGGAGUCCCAUGAAUCCUAUGAACUACUUUUUAGGGCUUUUUGAGCUAAAUAACCCAUGCAUGCAUGUAAAUUUAGAAACUUUAUGUGUUAUAUCGACCCUAGGUGGCCAGAUCUAUGUUUUGGAUGCGUUAAGCCCGACUGAAAUCGACAAUAUAGUCUUGGAUCAUGGGGGACUCGACCAGUCGUUCGUAGGAAUCGGCGAGUCGGGUCGUGGUUCCCCCAACCUUCUCUGUUACUUAGCCACUUGUUGAGUCAAGAAGAAGACUCAACCAUUUAGACGUGUUUUGGACUUAAAGGUCAAGAACUCAACGAGUCCAAGGAUGAACUCGCCGAGUCAGUGAGAAAAUGUCUCGACUAUAUGAAGGAAAACUCGAUGAUUCCAAGGAAGGACUCGAAGAGUUCAAAUGGAAAGUCUUGAUUUUGUCAUAAGGAGAAACUCGACGCGUUAGAGGGUAACUCGACGAUUCAGAUCACGAAUUCGAGAUUCUCUGAAUUAUGAAACUCGACGAGUUAAUGGGCCAACUCGACGAAUUGAGUCAACCAGGAUGUUGACUUUGACCAGGGCGUUGACUUUGACUUUGACUUUGACCAUUACCGAAUAUUGAGCCUUAAAGGGGAUAUGAAUGUGAAGGAGUAACCAAGGAGACUGUUAUAUGUAGGAGUUUGAGGAGAGUUGAUCCCAACAUCAAGGACAGUUCAGUUACUGCACGACAUUGAGGUAAGUUACCUUCCAGUAAAAAUGGGUCUUAGGCACCAAGGCCGGCCCACUAGUAGGAGAUUUCAGUUGAGAUGAUUGUCUUUGUGAUAAUUGUCUGGUUUGCCACUAUCUGUUAUGUUUUAUGUGAUAGUAUAUUAUGUGAUUAUGUGAUAGUGGUAGGUAGGGGACUAGUCCCCGGGUCCGGUUAAGAUAAACCGACAGGGUAUGUCGGGAACCCCAGAAUUGCCUGAUUGUAUCUUAUGCUAUUAUAUUAUAUGGUAGUGGUAGGGGUGAAAUAGUCAUCGUAGCAACCAAGGAGACUGUUAUGUGUAGGAGUUUGAGGAGAGUUGAUCCUAACACCAAGGACAGUUUAGUUACUGCACGACAUUGAGGUGAGUUACCUUCCAGUAAAAGUGGGUCUUAGGCACCAAGGCCGGCCCACUAGUAGGAGAUUUCAGUUGAGAUGAUUGUCUUUGUGAUAAUUGUCUGGUUUGCCACUAUCUGUUAUGUUUUAUGUGAUAGUAUAUUAUGUGAUUAUGUGAUAGUGGUAGGUAGGGGACUAGUCCCCGGGUCCGGUUAAGAUAAACCGACAGGGUAUGUCGGGAACCCCAGAAUUGCCUGAUUGUAUCUUAUGCUAUUAUAUUAUAUGGUAGUGGUAGGGGUGAAAUAGUCAUCGUAGCCGGUUCAGAUAAACCGGAGGGUAGGUCGGGCACCCUAGAAUUGGUUGGCAGUAUGUUGCUAUAUGUUAUGUGGUAUGAUGGGGGAACUCACUAAGCUUUGUGCUGACGGUUUUCUGUUUUUUGUUUCAGGUCCUUCUUCUUCGAAGAGAAAAGAGUCGGCACGGUAGCAGCGCAUCACACACAUGAUUUCCACAUAGGAGAUUUUUGGGAUUUGUACUCUAACAUUAUUAUGAUAUGGUUUUUGAACCCUUGACCUAUGGUUUUAUGAAAUAAAUUACCUGAUGAUGUUUUCUUAUAAAUUUUUUUAUGAAUCACUAUAUUAAAAAUGAAAUUUUUGGUCUUGAAUUUUGGGAUCUUACAUAUAUAUAUAUAUAUAUAUAUANNNNNNNNNNNNNNNNNNNNNNNNNNNNNNNNNNNNNNNNNNNNNNNNNNNNNNNNNNNNNNNNNNNNNNNNNNNNNNNNNNNNNNNNNNNNNNNNNNNNNNNNNNNNNNNNNNNNNNNNNNNNNNNNNNNNNNNNNNNNNNNNNNNNAUCUUGAAUUUUGGGAUGUUACGUGUAUAUAUAUGUACAUAAAAUAUAAAUUAUUCCUUAAGAUUUUAUUUUGAUACUUGUUAUUGAAAUUUAUUAUUUUCAUAAUGUAAAUAAUUUCUAAUUAGUUACAAGAUUUAUAUUUAUUUCUCAAGGAUCUAACUUCUUAUAAAUAAUAUAUUUGCAUCAACUUGUUGCUAGUGUGAUACUUUAUGAUCAUAUACUAUCUAGCAAAUAUAAUUCUACAACGAAUAUUGAGCAUAUAGAUCUUUCAAUAUCGUCAACUUGAACUCUGCAUAUAAAAUGACUUUGGAGUGUUGAAGUAUCGAAGCCCCUACGAUACUUGAGUAUUGGAGUACCUAAAAGAAGUACUGAAACAUGAAAUGAAGUUGAGCCAAUUUUAUCCAAAAUGACACAUCAUAAUAACCGAAAAUAAAAGUUAGGCCAAUUUCAUAAAUUAAUAAUCAAGUAUUAUAGUUGUUUCAUCUAAGUCACUAACAAUUAUUUUUUAAGAGGUUUAAGAAAUGGGCUUUUAGUUUUGUUCCAUCGCAAUGUACUUUUAAUUUUUUCCAUUGAAAAACAUUUUUUUACGACAAGUAUUUUAUUUGUUUUCUCAAGUAUGCUUAUUUUGACUUUGGAUUAUUAAAAAAAUAAAUAUUUGCUUUCCUUCAAACAAUUAAAUUAAUAAAAGUUAGUUAAAGCCUAAUAAUCAUUUUAUACAAUGUUGAUACUGAAAGGGAAAAAAAAGGACAAAUCAUACCUACCAUGUCUAUUGAGAUGAUUAGUUAGGUUAGAUAAAAUCUUUGUAAUUACUUGUAUAUAUUAUUUAAACCGUAACAUCCCAAAAAUAACGAUAAAAAUUUUUCAUUUUUAAUUAAGGAAAAUCAUUGUUUUCAAACAACACCCAAGUCAAAGUCAAAUAGAAAUAUCCCAUAAUCAUAGUGUAAUCAAAUCUACAAAACAAAUGCCGAAGGAUGUGUAUGAUCACGUCUUUGGUUUUCCCCGAUCAUCUGAAUUACCUGAAACAAUAAAUUUAAACCGUAAACCAAAGCUUAGUGAGCUCCCCCAAACUACCACACAAUGGAACAUAUACAAAUAAUACAUAUUAGGUCCACAACCUCACAGUUGGAUUACCCCUGGCCUACAACCUUUCGGUUGGAUUGCCCCAGCCCACAACCUCACGGUUGGAUUGCCCCUUUCUGGCCCACAACCUCAUGGUUAGAUUGCCACCAGCCCACAACCUUUCAGUUGGAUUGCCCGAGUUUGUUGUCUGGCAGCACAAAGCAGUACAGUCUCAACCCAGCCACACCAUGUCGACAUGUAAAAACAAAUAAACAUAUAACAGUAACCAGAUAAACAUGUAGAUCUCAAUAAUUCACUACAGUAUAGCAACAUUCCAAACCAGUAUACACAAUCUACUAGGAUGACAUUGGUGCCUUCGACCCAUAUGUACAGUAAGGAGAACUCACCUUACAGUCCGAAAAUAUAGUUGAACAGAUCACAACUCCAAUUGCUGACUCUACAGGUCACCUAUACACAAACUAUAACCUAGUCUCAGACUACUGCUCAAAAUACCCAAAAUACCCCUUGGUAAAACUUGGUCAAAAGUCAAUGUCAAAGUCAACUACAGCAGGUCGCUCAGGGUCUUAACCGAGUCUACAGGUCUUGACCUAGUCUCCAGGUCAUGGCAACCUGAGCCACGUCGUAGGGACUGGUCAGGGAAGCUUAAACCAUUAAGUCACUUUUCUUUCCAACUUCAAGGGCUCCAAAACUCAGAUCUGGUCCUUUCUAAGGUCCAACUGGAUAAUGUUUCCAACUUUAUCCCUUUUGACACUCAAAGAGAUAGAGUUCUCACUCCUAGGACUAAAUAGGGAAAAAACAUGACUUGACUUAACCCAUUACGCACUUUUCCUUGAAGGAUUACUAUAUCCCCACUCCAGAAAUUUUCUAGCACCUUAUACUCACAUAAAAAUCCAUAAUUUCUAGACAUGCAUGUCUUGGACGCUUAUUAGGUCAAAAUAGAGAAAAAGGGGCCAAGAACUCAUGCAAGAGUUCAAAAUUAUAGAUCCGACACUCCUAACCACAAAGGGACUAUGGGGAUUCAUAAAGUUGGCAACUUUAUGAAAUCACAACACUCCAAUAUGUCCCAACAUGAAGAAUAAGGCAUAGAAAUCUAGAUCUAUGAAAAAUAAACCAAAAAGCUUGGAACUUAGGGACUUAUAAGAGUCCAGAAUAUGCACAAUAAGAUGAUGAGAAGAGUAUCUUUCUGACUCCAAGUCUAGAAGUCACCUUCUUCUUCUUCUUCUUCUAAUCCCCAAAAAAUCAACACAAAAAGCUUAGAGAGAAAUAAUGGAGGUUAGGGUUUGUUUAGAGGCUGAGAGUGUGUGAUGGAGGCUGAGAAUGAGCAACCCUAGCCAUCACAUUCCCUUAAAUAGGGCGCAAACCCCAGAUAUUAGGGUUUCCCGUUAAACCGUUGCCACGUCGUGAUGACUUUAAAUAAGAUCGCGAUAUUUCUUGAUACUCCACGCCGUGGCGCUUUCCCCCAUGACGUGCCUGUUGGAUUAGUGUCUAAGUCCAUAACUAUUUUGGUAUGUACUUGACCCGAUGGUGCAUGGUCCUUUUGGGUUGCCUUCACCAAAGCAACUUGAUAGGAUGAAUUAUGGAGAGAGAGGAUUAAUUAUGAUUUAUUAAUAUAUUAAAAGAAUAAUAUAUUAAAGGAGCAAUCAUAAUUUUUAAUUAAUAUUAGUCAAGAAUUAAUUAAUUAUUAAUUUUGUGGCUAAAAGAGAUUAAUUAAACUUAAGGGACUGGAAUUGUAAUUAUAAGAUAAUUGCAAUUAGGCUAUAGAUCACCUUGGGAUAUUGGUUGGACGAAAUCUAUGGGAAGCCCAUAUGAUUUUCGUCCAAGGCAUGUUCAGAAGGGGUCCAUGGGCUGCUUAGGGCUUAAGCAGUCAAAUUAGGGUUUCCUUUUUAGAUAACCCAAAUUGCCCACCUAUUUAAAGGACCCUUGAGACCCACAAACGUGCCCAACUAUUAGAUUAGGGUUUCCAGCCGUUUUUGGGUGUCUAAUCUCUUCUCCUUCUUUAUCCUCUUGCUCUUGGUGUUUGUGAGCCAUUAGGGGAGUGACACUUGUGACUCUAAGAUUUCUGAAGCCAUUACAAGGAGGAUUUGAGAUUGUUAUUGCUACAUAACAAUCAAGGUAAUAUCUAAACCCAAUUUACAUAUAUGAUUUUGAUUAUAGUUUGCUAGAUCUAGGGUUUAAAGUCUUGGAUAAUUGCAUGUAUAAUAGAGAAACCUAGAUCCAAGCUUUAGGGUUUGCAUGUGCACAUAGGAUGUUCUUUUGGCUAAAACCCAUCAGUGGUAUCAGAGCCUUGAUUGGUUUCUGUUUUAUGUGAUGCAAUGAUUUUUUAUCUGCGGAAAAUCAUUUUUAUGGCAUCUGCCCGACCCAACUCGGCGAGUCAGACCAACUCGGCGAGUCCAGGUAGUGACUCACCGAGUCUGGGAGUCAGGCAGAGGAUAUUACGAGAUUUUAUGCUUUUUUUGCUUAGGAUAAUUGCCAUAAUUCUUUCAAAUUAAUAAAAGACAAAUUUGCAAAACUGGUCCUUGUGGUAUGCAUUUUUUUGGAGUUUUAGUCUAAACUACGACUUUUUUGGAUUGGUAGUCCCUUUGAGCUAGUUCUGUUGCGUUUUUGGUCCUUCUGAAUACUAAAAUGACUUUAAUACCCUUGGGAUAUUUAUUUUCCAUUUUUCUUUCAUUUAUUUUAAAUCUAAUACUAAUUUAUUUAUUUUAAUAAUUAAAAAAAUAAAAAGGGUCUCUCUCUCUCUCUCUCUCUCUCUCUCUCUCUCUUAAUCAUCACCUCCGUCUCACCAUCCCCACAGUUCAUCUCACUAACAGAUAAUGCUUCAAUGGUGUCUUCACCCCCAAAACCCACUUUGAUUCUCGAUGUCAAUUUUUUUUACCAUUCUUCAAUGAUGAAAUCAAGUUUUCGAAGAAUCUGAUUAAACAUAUCCAUCUUUGUCGUCAUCUGAAACCCUUCUCAAAUAUGUUCAUAUCAAGCCCUAGGGGAAGAAAUCAACUCUGUGAGACUCACAAUUGAUGGAUUCAGCAAGUCUCAGAUAUGUUUAUAUCAAGCCCUGUGCAUCGAUGGUCCAAUUAAGGGGAAGUAGAACAGAACGGAUAAGGAUCUCCGGCAAGCUCCUCCUUGGUCUAUUUGUUCGUCAUCGAUGGUCCAAUUAAGGGGAAGUAGAACAGAACGGCAACAAAUAGUGAGAGGGUGACUGUAAUCGGUGGAAGAAGGAAGACCAGUCGGUUCUUUUGGUGAGCUCCUUCUCUCGGUACUCCAACCUUCGAUAGUGCAACUGUCAUACGGGGUAAUUGCGGUGGUGUAUAAUCAGUUGUGAGGAGGGCUUAGCCGGCAGAAAAUUAUUGCCCUUUUUCGGCGACCCUUGUGGGUCCUUUUUCUCUUCUCCGCUAAUCACAAACGCAGGGAAGCAGAGCAGCAGUAGUUGUGCCGGACAGGAGGUGUUUGGUAGCCGGAGUUGAUGAAAUCGAAGGGAAGGGGAGUAGGGUUGCCAUCAUUGGUGAAGGUCACCAAUUUUUCUUCUUCUUUGGCUAGAGGAGACGUGAGCGAGAGAGAGAGAGAGAGACUCUAAUUUUUUUAAUAAUUAAAAUGAAUAAAUAAUAAUUAAAUUAAAAAAAUGAAUUUAAAAAUAGAAAAGAAAUACCCAAGGGUAUUAAAGUCAUUUCAGUUUACCGAGGGACUAAAAACGCAAAAGAACUAGCUCAAAAAAGACCACCAAUCCAAAUAAGUCGUGGUUUGGACUAAAACCCCGAAAAAAUACAUACCACAGGGACCAUUUUUGCAGUUUUGUCUUAAUAAAAUAUGAACUUUAUUGAUUCCUUAUGAUUAUCCUUCUCAAAAUAAAAUAUUUUUGUCAUCUAAUUAGAUAAUUGUUACCUUAUUUGAUAAAUGUUAAAUUAUUUGAAUUAUUUGGUCAAUUAUCUUGCAAAUUAAAUUGAUUAGGUCAAUUAUAGAUAAUCAUAAAAUUAAUUGUUUAAUUUUGAAUUAUUUUCUAUUUGAUCCUUUAUGUUUUGAAAAAGUUUCAAAAUUUGCCCUCAAGUUUUGGGAUUUAAUUUUUUUUAAUUAAAAGUUUAAGUUAAAAAUGUUAAAUUCUAAAACCCUAAUUUUUGAAAAAGUUCAAAUUGUACCCUUAUGGUUUUGUUAAAUUAAUUAAGUGUAUAAUUAAAAGAGAGUUAAUAAAUCCAUAGUGAUAUGGUUUANUAUUAUAGGAUAUAUAUAUAUAUAUAUAUAUAUAUAUAUAUAUAUAUAUAUAUAUAUAAAACUUAAACUGCUAGUCUUAACGUUAGUAGGCCUCAUUCAUGAAGCCAAUCUAUAAGGGGAGUAUAAGGUUAUGGCCUAGAAAAUGGUCGUUUAUGAGUGUCCNCCACUCUCACCCACCGCUUCCUUGAUUGGUGGAGGGUUAUUAGUCGAACGGGUAGGAUAGGGCAAACCCUUUCCAUUAAAAGUAUAAUGAAAUAUAAAGUAACUAAAUGUUUUUACAAAAUUUCCAAUCUUAGUUACUUUAGGUAAAAGUGAAUUGAUGCAAUUCCAUGAAAUUACACUUUCUACCCUUGCGAAGACGUUAGUGGAGCCUAUGUGGUUAACCGGCACACUAAAUGUUUCUAAGCAAAGGUAGCGAAGGGUGACUAGAUGUUUGUCAUAGUUCUAUGAAGCGUGUGUGGUUAACUGGCACAUCGAAUAGGUGACUGUAACAUUGGGGGCACCAUAUAAGUUUGCAUGGUUAUUCACCCCCUGUUUUGUGAUCCUCGGCAUCCCAUUCACAAAUCGUGGGGCAUAUUGAGAUUUAAACAUGCCAUUGAAAGGUUCAAUGAAUCUAAAAGGAUCUAAGAGUUUUUAAUACAUUUAAAACUUAAUCUCCUUUUCGUUUUUCAUGGUGGAAAAUUAGUGAAUCGUCAUUCACUUACCUUCAAAUGUUCUGCAAUUUGGGUUACGACAUCCCUCUCCUAAGUUGUAGAAUAUUGUGUUGGGUCCUAGCCUUAAUAUCUCAUUUGGGUGAUUUAUUAAGGAGUCAAUCAAUCAACUAACUUGAAUUUUUCUCUCGUUUUGUAGAUGUCAAAGUACGACAACUAUGGUCUUCCCAAAUCCCGUGGAACAAGCUUUCCACAUGAAGAUGAUAUUUCACGAUUUGAUCGAGGAACACGAGAUCAUGCUUCACUUCCUCCACCUUCUCCUAUUGUUCUUCCUAACCCACAAGUUCAAAUGCUUGAAAAGUUCAAACUCACUCAAGCCCUUUUGGCAAGUAAACAUGAAGAAGGAAAGUCAGUGUGUGCAUACGUCUUAAAGAUGAAGUCACACAUUGAUAGGUUAAAAAUGUUGGGAUCCGUUGUCUGUGAGGAGCUGACUGUUGACUGGGUUCCUCAGUCGCUUGUUGACUCAUAUAGUGAGUUCGUAAGAGAGUACUAUAUAAUGAACCAUGGCGUGACCCUCAUCGAUCUCACCUAUAUGCUUAUUGCUGCUGAAUCAGAAAUGAUUUGGCGCAUUGAAAAAGCAAAGUUGAUUGGUGAAUCUGCCUUCCAGACUUCUAUGGACAUAUGCAAUGGCAACGAAAGGCAUGCCAUGGUCGAAAAUUUUGAUCAUAAGAGAAAGGAAAAGUCUGAAGUAGUUUCGUGUGAUGUUCCAAAAGAGUCGAUUUGCUUUUAUUGCUAAGAGAAGGGGCAUUGGAGACGAAGCUGCCCUUUCUACCUGAGAGCAAGUUGAUUGGUGAAUCUGCCUUCCAGACUUCUAUGGACAUAUGCAAUGGCAACGAAAGGCAUGCCAUGGUCGAAAAUUUUGAUCAUAAGAGAAAGGAAAAGUCUGAAGUAGUUUCGUGUGAUGUUCCAAAAGAGUCGAUUUGCUUUUAUUGCUAAGAGAAGGGGCAUUGGAGACGAAGCUGCCCUUUCUACCUGAGAGCUCUAAGAGAUGGGAGAGUCAAGACGUAUGGCUCUACUUCAGGUAAAAUCCACUAUAUAACUCCAUUAAGUUCCUAUUUAUUGAUUCUUAAUACAUAAUGUGAUAAGAUUACAUUUGAAUGUUUUGCAUGAUCAGUGAAAAGAGAGGAAGCUUGAUGGAAGAGCAAGAUGAGUCUGAUCACGAAGAACUGGAUCACGAUCGCAUGGAUUCGAAGAUCAGAUUUUGAGCUUAGAAAGUUAUGAUAGAGUUGUUAGGAAUAUUGAUUACAUAGUUUUUCAGUUGAUUUUGCAUUGUAAGGACAUGUUUUCCGCUGCUUUUAUGAAUUAAAUAAAUUUUAGAUUUGUCUUAUUUAUAUAUACCCUUGCAAUGAAAUCGUUGUGAAAAAUUGAUGUUUGUGUAUUUCUAUAAAUGGAUGUGAUUCUUAGUUAUGUUAUUUAUGGUAGUGUCAAAAUUUCUAAGUAAGGAAAGAUUCCCAUCACCCAAGUUUCAAUUGGAUAGAAACUUGGAAUCAUAUCAUUUGAAUCAUGUGAUGUAUGGAAAUCUUGGUACUUAGGAAAUUUAGACUAAUUCCUUGAUCACACAAGUAUUUGAGUCAAGUGAAGGACUAAAGGAAUAGAACACAAUGUUAUGCACUAGUCAAGUCCACCACAAAUAACAAUAAGACUAUUCGUCAUAAUUUACUAAAAUUCUAGUAAAUGUGGUUAUGCCAAGAUUAAGUGGAAUUCUGAAUCAUUGAAAGGUUUCAAUGAAUGGUAGAACGAAUAAGAAGAAUCAACUAGGCAGAAAGAUAAAAGUUUCUCCAAUCUAAGAAGAAGGGGGAGUACUUUUGUAUCAGAUUUUAUGAUCUACUUAAUGAUUAAGAAACAUAUCACAAUUGAUCCUCUAUGGACAUCUUAGUUCACUAGUACGGCAAAGAAGAGGAAUCGAAAAUUAUUGAAAUGGUUAAAUCAAAAGGAUGAGUCAUACUUCGUUCCAAAAUCAAGUCUUAGAAUCAUACUCCAAGAUUGUGAAUUGAGUGACACACACUCAUCAAAUGUGAAGUAGAAAAAUUGUUUUUCUUACUCUUGCACGUUUGAAAUUGGUGUGUAGUGUUUAUCUUGAUGAGAAUCCGCACCAACUCUUGAAUAUUUGUUUAUCAAGAAAUGUUUCUUGAUAAGAGAAUGUUAUAUGUCAAGAGGUCAGUGGGAGUCUAAAUGAUCUUGAAAAGUUUCGAGAACUAAUCAAGAGUAAACCUAUUAUUAAACACUAGCACACGACUUGAGGAUUGUAACGUAUCGUGUUGACAAAGUUUUUAUUUCUGUGCCAAUCUAGUUGAGUGAUUAUGCAUAUGAGUUCUAUGAGUUCUCAAUAGAAUGCAUAAGGCAAGCACCUUAUUCAAUGAAAGUACAUUGACUGGAAUAGGUGAGCUGCUAGAUAACUUGGAAGCAAUGGUAGGAUCUUUGAUGGCAAGAAAUUAAGAAUGAACAAGUUCUGUCAAUAAGAGUUUGAAUUUGUCACAAACAUUAUCUUACGAUUAUGGUUAUGGAAAACUUACAUGGAUAGGAACACAUACACCAUAAAAUAUAAGUGUCAUAAGGUUUCUCUCCUUCAUGAAAAUGAUUGUGAGGAAACGCUUUCACUAAGAGAGAUUUUAAGGAGAUAGCGAUUAUGUAAAUUGCAUUCUCAAAUUCGAUUAUGAUUACGGCAUCCCUUUUCAUAGUUCGAAUUGUGAGAUUAGGUAAUUAGUCUGAAAAUUUGGGACUUAGUAAAAUAAGUUUUGAAUUAGUUUAGACACACAUGUAAGCUGUCUAAGGAAAGGUGUGUGAUCUUGAGAAGCUUAGAUAAAGGCUUACCGAAGCAUAUCGUAUUAGAAACAAUGAACUUUGGAAAUCAAUAAGUACUGUUUUCUAGAAGUUUAGCUGGUUUCUAAAUAAGUGUCAAAGCUAGUGGGAGCAUAAAUGUUAUGCUGGAAUGGAUAUAAUCAUCAUGUUAGUGGGAGCAUGAUUAUUAUUUAAGUAUUGCUAUUUGGCAAUAUUAUGCAAAUUUGUAGGGGUUGAAAAGUUGUUUUUGUUAUAAUUAAGGGAGAGAAUGUUAUACUGCGUUUCCAAUCUAAACGCUUAGAUCGAGAAAUUUUAAUUAAAUUUAGUCAAGGGUAUAUUUAUUAUUUGCAUUCUCAAAAGUUUGAUUAUGAUUACGGCAUCCCUCUUCAUAGUUCGAAUUUUGAGAACACGGCAGAUAGAAACAUUAUGACGAUAUUAUAGUAAGAAACUGGUAAAGUAUCAUGAUUUUAUUAUGAAUUGCAUUCCAUACGCUUCGGGUAUAGGAUGAAUUGCAUAUGUUGUAAUAUUCGACUGUUCUAAAAUUUUCCAAAUGCCUAUGGCAUUUAGUGGGAAAAAGGAAAUAAAACCGGUUUUGGCUAAAAGAAUUAAACAACUUCCAAGGACAAUCUAAGGUUCGCCAAUGAUUGGUUGCUUGUGGACAGUUGAAAGUAUAGUCAUGGAUGGACCAUAUUGACAUUAUAAGAUUCUAUUUGGAAUAAGUUGUCAUAUGGAAAAUAUGGAAAUGUUUCCAUAUUGGGAGUUGGAUAUCGAGAAUCAAUGUCUAGAUUAUAAACUUUUAUGCAAGAAGGAUGUUCAAAGGAAUGUACUUUGAAUACGAGAAUUCAUAACUAUGGAAUUGUCUUGUAAUAAUCUCCAAUAGAGUAUUUUUCUAAUUUCAUUGGCCGAGACUUGGUGACUUUUGUGCCACGACACUACGAAAAGGACUGUUCAAUAAAAUGUUAGAAUCUAACAUAUUCUAGUAGUGGCGAGAAUUUUGUAUUUUUACACUAAUGGAUUAGGAAUUGUGAAAUGAGUGUGAUUGAAAAUGUUAUUCAAUUAUACUAUUUCACAAAGUAAGGACCAUAGGUAAACAUAGUGUGCAUGCUAAGAGCAUGGGACAAUUGUUGUUAUAAUUCAAGUAAUAAGUUGAUUACCCGAAACAACAAAUAAUGAGUAAUUAAUAUGGUGAUUAAAUAAAAGGUGUUUUAUUUAUACUUAAAAUUUUGGGGCCAUAUAGGAUUAGUAUUAUUCUUGUGUUUCACUUUGCAUGUUUUGACUUUCAGAAUAAUUAAAUUAUUUCAGAAUAAUCGAAUUAUUCAAACCCUCCACAGUCGCUCAUAUUUUGGAAGUAAGUAUGAAAGAAGAUUGUCAUGAAUCUGACUGUAGACUGUCUAAAGUGUUUUAGACAUAGCAAAAGUUUGCUGUAGGGUUCAUAAGUACUGCUAUAAGAUUAGAGUAUUGGAAUAAACCCAUGCUCACUUGGAUCGCUUCAUGGAUUUUAUCACGAGUGAUUGGUGAGAUGAUAAUAUCUUAUAUUCUUGAAACCAAGAUGUGUGAGGUGUAUCUUGCAAAUCGGUUGCACGUUGAUAAUAUGUAAACGCACCAGUAACUUGGUGUUAUAAAACGUAUUGUUGUGUGUGAUUCAUUGAGUGAAUGCAAGCGAGCAUUGAGUCGAAGUUUAUCCGUUCCUUUUACCCAAAGUGGGAUAAAAGCGAUAUAUGUGGGCCCCUCACUGAUUUAGUGAUGACACCUAAGGUCUUGGCCAAGUCGGGACUAAGUUGAUGUGUUCCCUUGUAGUCUGUUGUCAGUCGUCGUAAAUCGGAAAUCGAGAAACAACACAUAGACAGAGAGAAUGAUUUGAAUCCAUGUCUCAGUCUAUACGAUAUCUAGAAUGGAGGAAUAUAUGAUCCCUUAUCUAAAGGACACGCUUCUAAUAAGAUCAGAGUUGACAACGGCUUUUGAAACCUACGAUUGCGGAUCAGGAUCUAAAGUCAUAUGCAGAAUAGUAAUUAGACUUAUCCAAUUGGCCACAAAAAAUGGCUUAUAAAAGCCCUAGAUCUCCCCAAAGAGGGAUCUAACANAAUAUAUUAUAAGAAUAAUAUAUUAAAGGAGAAAUCAUAAUGUUUAAUUAAUAUUAGUCAAGAAUUAAUUAAUUAUUAAUUUUGUGGUUAAAAGAGAUUAAUUAAACUUAGGGGACUAGAAUUGUAAUUAUAAGAUAAUUGCAAUUGGGCUAUAGAUUACCUUGGAAUAUAGGUUGGACGAAAUCUAUGGGAAGCCCAUAUGAUUUUCGUCCAAGGCAUGUUCAGAAGGGGUCCAUGGGCUACUUAGGGCUUAAGCAGUCAAAUUAGGGUUUCCUUGUUAGAUAACCUUAAUUGCCUACCUAUUUAAAGAACCCUUGAGACCCAAAAACGUGGCCAACUAUUAGAUUAGGGUUUCUAGCCGUUUUUGGGUGUCUAAUCUCUUCUCCUUCUUCAUCCUCUUGCUCUUGGUGUCUGUGAGCCAUUAGAGGAGUGACACUUGUGACUCUAAGCUUUCUGAAGCCAUUACGAGGAGGAUUUGAGAUUGUUAUUGCUAUAUAACAAUCAAGGUAAGAUCUAAACCCAAUUUACAUAUAUGAUUUUGAUUAUAGUAUGCUAGAUCUAGGCUUUAAAGUCUUGGCUAAUAACAUGUACAAUAGAGAAACCUAGAUCCAAGCUUUAGGGUUUGCAUGAGCACAUAGGGUGUUCUUUUGGCUAAAACCCAUCAGUGCCAACACUAAAUACUUAGAAUUUUAAAAUUUGAAUUACCUCGGAAUCCGGAUGUUACAAUUCUCCCCUACUUGAGUAAGAAUUCAUCCUUGAAGUUUGGCAUUGCGAAUAACUCAGGGUAGUGCUCUCACAUCUCAGUCCUAGGUUCGAAGGCCCAAUCAUUACCCCUCCGAUGCUGCCACUAGACCUUGACCGAUGAUACCACCUUCUUGUGUAAGGAAUUGUAUUUCCUAUGCAAAAUCGCUACUUGUAUCUCAACAUAAUUCAAGUGAUCAUCAACCUAAAUAUCAUCUAAAGGAACCACUACUGAAUCAUCAGUUACACAUUCCGUAACUUAGAGACGUGAAAGGUGUUGUGAAUCUGACUGAGCUCUUCCGAUAGAUCCAACUUAUAGGCUACCCUACCUAACUUGGAAAUCACUCGAAACAACCCAAUAUAUCGGGGCCCCAACAUGCCCCUCUUCCCGAAGCGUAUUACACCAUUCCAGGGUGAUACCAUCAGUAAAACAAGAUCUCUGACCUGGAACUCCAGCUCAGACCGACAACUGUCCGUAUAACUUUUAUGUCGGCUAUGAUAUGUUUGCAAUCUCUAUCUGAUAUGUUGAAUAAGCUCUAUCAUCUAAAGGACUACUUUGGUAUUUCGCAUGACCCUGUGCCCCACCUCUCCCCAACAGAAAAGGGUACGACACUUCCUCCCAUGGAGAACCACAAAUGACAUCACGCCGAUACUGGAGUGAUAGAUUUUGUUGUAUGAAAACUCAGCUAGGGAAAGUAGGAGUCCCAACUCCCACUGAAAUCUAUGACACAAGCUCUCAACAUAUCUUCAAGUGUUUAAAUGUUCCGCUUGCUCUAGCCGUCAAUCUACGGAUGAUAAGCAAUGCUAAAAUGUAACAUCGUGACCAGUUCCUUGUGGAACCUCUACCAAAACCGAGAAGUGAGUCAGACAUCUCGAUCUGAUAUAAUAGAAACGGGAACACCAUGCCGGGCGACGAUCUUGCAUGCAUAAACAUUGGGCAAUUUCUUGGUCGAAGAGCUCUCUCAAACAGCUAUGAAGUGGGCACUCUUGGUUAGACGGUCCACUAUAACACAUAUCACAUCAAACCCCUUAGCUGUCUGAUGUAACUUGGUGAUGAAAUCUAUGGUGAUGUAUUCCCAUUACCAUAUGGAAACUUCCAAAGGAUGAAGCUCACGAUACGACUUCUGGUGCUCGACGUUGACCAUCCGACAGGUCAAGCCCCUCUCAAUAUACCAUGCUAUCUCCCUAUUCAUUGAUGGCCACCAACAGUUAAGCCUCAAAUACCGAUACAUCUUAGUGGCCCCAUGGUGUAUCAAAAAUCUGGACUUGUGUGCCUCCUCCAACAUAGCCUGCCUGAUUCUGCCAAAAUCUGGCACCCAAACCUGACCACAACGGGUCAACAAUCCAUGACCAUCGGUAGAAAACCUGUCGAUCUCAUCCCUGAUUCGCGUUCGCUUCCAAUUCUCCUUCUUGACUCCCUCAGCCCGAGCCUCCCUAAUCAAAUCCAGAUGUGGCGAAUCGAGCGAAAUUCUCAUACAUAAGCUCCCAACCGAAGAACUAGUCGACUUGCGGCUCAAGGCAUCAACGACCACAUUUUCUUUCCUCGGGUGAUAAAGAAUAUUGCAUUCAUAAUCCUUGACCACGUCAAGCCAUCUACGAUGUCUCAUAUUCAGAUUCGGCUGAUCCAUGAGAUACCUCAAACUCUUAUUAUCCGUGUAAAUAGUAUAUUGGACCCCAUACAGAUAAUGCUGCCAAAUCUUGAGGGAAAACACCACCGCUCCCAACUCCAGAUCAUGCAUAAGAUACCGCAUUUCAUGCGGCUUUAGCUGUCGAGAAGCAUAAGCAAUAACCCUCCUUCGCUGCAUAAGAACUACCCCCAGACCGGUGAUGGAUGCAUCACAAUACACAAAAAAUCCUCAACAUCCUGAGGGAGAGUCAAUACUAGGGCCUCAAAUAACUUAUGUCUUAGUGUAUCGAAUGCAGCCUGUUGCUCAGGUCCCCAAUGAAAAUCCACACCCUUCCUCUUAGACAAGUAAGGGGUGCAACAAACUUGGAUAAAUCUUGAAUAAAUCUUCGAUAAUACCCUGCUAAUCCCAGAAUACUCCUGAUCUUCGAAGGAGACUUUGGGACCUCCCACCACAUAGCAGCCUCAAUCUUUGUCGGGUCAACCAAAAUAACAUUAUGGUUAACAAGGUGUCCUAAAAAAUAGACCUCCUGUAACCAAAACUCACGCUUCGAGAACUUGGCAUACAACCGUUCCCAAAUCAAAACUCAUAGAAGCUCUCGAAGGUGCUCUUCAUGCUGCUCCCUGGUCUUAGAAUAGACUAGGAUAUCAUCAAAAACAAUGAGUGAUCGAUCAAGCAUCGGUCUGCAUACCCAAUUCAUCAGGUCCAUAAAUUUUGCAGGUGCAUUAGCGAGUCCAAACGACAUCACCACGAACUCAUAAUGACCAUAAUGAGUCCGGAACGUUGUCUUCUCCACAUCCUCCUCUCUAACCCUCAUUUGAUGAUACCCGGACCUCAAAUCAAUCUUGGAAAACCAAGAUGAACCUUGUAGCUGAUCAAAUAGGUCAUUAAUCUGUGGAAGUAGCUAAUGGUUCUUCACCUUCAGCUUGCUCAACUCCCGAUAAUCAAUACACAUACAGUCCAAACCAUCCUUCUUCUUCACAAACAAAAUCGGUGCUCCCCAAGGCAAAAUACUAGGUCUGAUAAACUGCUUGCCCAACAACCCCUGAAGCUGAGAGGACAACUCAUGCAUCUCCGGUGGUUCCAAUCGGUACAACGCAUUAGCAAUCGGAGCCGUACCGGGAAACAAAUCAAUCCUAAAAUCAACCUUCCUCCUAGGAGGCACAAUGGGUAAUUCCUCCAGAAACACAUCUAGGAACUCCCUAACUACAGGCAUAUCCAAAAAUGAAACCUCCUUACUGACCCGAGUGUUGACCACAUACAAGAGGUAACCCAUAAAUAAAUAGUCAUUUAUCCCUUACUUCUGGUUCGAACUACCACCCACUGACCCUCACAGUCAAUCAUCACACCAAAACUUCUCAACUAGUCCAUACCUACUAUCACGCAUACAUCCCCCAUGGGUUUAGGGAUCAGAUCAAAUGGCUAAGGCACCCCGAAAAUCUCCAUAACACAACCUUGAUAAAUGCUCAAUGCAGAAACCUCUUGCUCGUUGGCGAUAAAAACUUGCAACGGGCACUCCAAAUCUCCAAGAGAAAUAUUAAAACUCAUACUGAAGGGCUGAGACACAAAAGAAUGAUUCGCACCCGAGUCAACAAGCAUUAGAGCAAGAAGGGAAUUCACUAAGAAGAUACCUAGCAGGAUCAUAAUCAUAAGUAUACAAUAAUAUAGUUGAUAGAAUAAUAAAUGAAACCAUACUAGUAACGAUGUUCAGCGCGACCCUGGCCUCCUCCGUUAUGACUUGGAAAUCAUGACCUCGAGCCCUAGGGGCUCCAGCCUACCUUAACGUCCAUCCGUGAUUCAAAAGGUAGAAGUAGAUGGUGCUUGCAUGGGUUUGGCGAAAAGCAAGGGAUACUAGGCCUUCACAUGGCCCACCUACUCAUAUUGGUAACAAAUCCGGGAGCUCGGCGGCGGAGCCGGCUGGUGACAAUCCCUAGCUAUGUAGCCCUCCCUACCAUAUUUGUGGCAUCCAGAAGAAAAUCGACAAGCAUCGUCAUGAACCUUGCCAUCCUUUCCACAAGCGAGACCCUUUUGUCCCCUAGAUCGUGAAUUAGCAGGCUUGAACCGAUUAGCUUCUGUGAUUGAAUGAUAGCUUACCUCAGCUCCUUUGUCUGAAUCUUAAUCUCAAUCUCUCGCCUCCUCGCAACAUCCCGAAGCUCGAUGAAGGUACUAUGACGCUGGGUGGACACAAAUUGAUGAAAAUAUUCCUCUUGAGCAUGCUCAAGUACUGCGUUAUCUUAGCCUGCUCCAAAAAAAGAAAACUCGAGAUAAAAUAAAGCCCUUUCCUUGAACAUCUUGGUGAUCUCCGUCACCGAAUCGUCGUCUGUCUCAGAUCCAGGUACUCUUGAGCCAAUCUCUCCCUCUCCACCAGAGGAACAUACCUCGUGCUAAACAUCUUGGAAACAGCUCCCAAGUAACAUAAGCCUUUUUCUCAAGAGUGUAGGAACCAGUCACUCGGUUCCACCAGUCCUUCGCGCUCAGUUGAAGGAGGUUCAGGGCAUACCUGACAUUCUAGUCCUCCCGACAUGAAUACGUGAAAAAGCAUCCCUCUACAUCAAAAAUCCACCUCAUAUCCACUAUCGGGUCCUUUCAACCCAUUAAACUCCAAGGGAUUUGUGUUGUUAAAGUCUCUGUACUAGAAUGAACCUCCACCUCGGCCACCCACAGCAUCAACAGUUGUGGUGGCUACAACAGUAACAUUCUCGGUGAAGGAAGCAUAAUGAUCAUCGAAUAGCUCAAUCAUAGCAGUCUUGAUAGACCUAAACAGCUCCGGAAUAGAACUCCAUACAACAGUAUCCACCUCACUAGUAAUAAACUCACGUAUCUGGUCAUUAGUCAACCCUGGCCUAUCCUGGCCACCUGCUCCAGAUCCAAAAUCAUAUCCUCUCAUGAACACCAUACUGAAAAUGAACUAAUAAAUAUAUCAGAAAAUGCCACCAUUCAUACUAUACAAUCAUCGCAGAGCGGCUAAGUCCUCAGGGUUUGUGACUUCCUUGUUAUGCAUAAAGGUCUUGUGCUUUCAGUUGUAUGGGACCAUACUACCUUCCAUACGUACCUGUAUUUGUCUCAAUGGAUCAUCACAAGCUAUCCCGAAAACAAACCCACAACUAGGAUACACAUACAUACUAUACUCACUCUCUCUCGAGUGACUAAUCACUCCUCAUCUGACCAACUGCUCACAAACUCACUCAUGAAACUUUCACAAACCUUGUAGCUGCUGGUGCAUGUUAAUCAUAUAUAAUGUUGGAUUCCAUAGACAGUCAAAUACUUGAUGAUGUCAAUUUCAUCUAACAUAUCCAAAGUCCUCCAAGUCUAUCAGGCAUUAUACAACAGGCAAUUCUAUAAUGCAAUUCCUAAAGAUCCACAACCUUUCACUAACAUCCAGAUCUAUCAUAAACAUCAUAACAUAUAACAAUAUGGGUAUCUUGGGGUAUACCUUCUUGCUCUGGCUAAUCGUACACAUUUCAUCCUUCUUGUCAUCCUUGAAACAAUUUUGAAAACCAAUUUAGAAACAAUUUUGGAAUUUGUUUUGAAAACUUUUACAUAUCCAUAAUUUGAGUCUGGAUUCACACGAAUUCUCAUCCAAUUCCCUCAAACCAGGGAUCUAAUACCAAUUUGUAACAUAAAAUUUUUCAUUUUUAAUUAAGAAAAAUUAUUUAUUUCAAACAAUACCCAAGUCAAAAUCAAAUAAAAAUACACCAUAAUCAUAGUGUAAUCAAUUCUCCAAAACAUAAAAUUGAUGGAUAUGUACGAUCAUGCCUUUGUUGUUCCCUGAUCGUCUGAAGUAUUUGGAAUAAUAAACUUAAAUCGUAAGCCAAAGCUUAGUGAGCUCCCCCAAGGUACCACACAACGGAACAUAUACAUAUAAUAUAUACAGGGUCCACAACCUCAUAGUUGGAUUACCCCCCACCCAUAACAUUUCGACUGGAUUACCCUGGACCACAACCUCACGGUUCCAUUUCCCUCAUCUGGCCCACAACCUCACAGUUGGAUUGCAACCGGACCACAACCUUUCGAUUAGAUUGUCCGGGUUUGUUGACUAGCAGCACAAAGCAUUAUAGUCUCAAACCAACCACACCAUGUUGAUAUGUAAAACCAAAUAAACAUAUAACAGUAAACAGAUACAUGUAGAUCUCAACAAUUCACUACAGUAUAGCAACAUUCCAAACUAGAAUAAACAAUCUAGUGAGUCGGCAUUGGUGCCUUCGACCUACAAGAACAGUGAGCAGAACUCACCUCACAAUCCGAAAAUAUAGUUGAACAGAUCGUAGCUCCAAUUACUGAAUCUACAGUUCACCUAUGCACAAAAAAUGACAUAGUCUUCAACUACUACUCAAAAUACUAAAAAUGCCCCUAGAUCAAACUUGGUCAAAGUCAACGGCUAAAAGUCAGAGUCAACUACUGCAGGUCACCAAGCCGUGGCCCGUCUUUGCCACACCGAUGCCAUUAAAUGACAAAACAAAUGGUUCUUGACCUAGUCACCACGUCGUGGCAACAUGAACCACGUUGUGGGGACUGGUCUGGGCAGCUUAAGCCAUUAAGUCACUUUUCUUUCCAACUUCAAGGGCUCUAAAACUCAAAUCUGGUCCUUUCUAAGGUCCAAGUGGAUAAAGUUUCCAACUUUAUCCCUUUAGACCCUCCAAGAGAUAGAGAUCUCACUUCUAGGUCUAAAUAGGGCAAAAAUCACUUGACCUAACUCCUUAAGAACUUUUCCUUGAAGGCUUACUAGAUCCCCAUUCCAGAAUGUUUCUUGUAGCUUAUAGUCACAUAAAUAUCCAUACGUUCCAUACAUGCAUGUCCAAUGCAUGUCUUGGACUUUUAUUUAGUCAAAAUAGAGAAAAAGGGGCCAAGAUCUCAUGUAAGAGUUCAAAACUCUAUAAAACCCCAGAUCCAACAAUCCUAACCACAAAGGGACUUUGGGGAUUCAUAAAACUGGCAACUUUAUGAAAUCCCAACAUGAAGACUUAGUCAUAGAAACUUAGAUCUAUGCACAAGAAACCAAAAAGAUUAGAAAUUGAGGACUUAGAAGAGACCAGAAGACACACAAGAAGAUGAUAACAAGAGUUGCUUGCUAAGUCCAUGUCUAGAAGUCACCUUCUUUUUCUUCUUCUUCUAAUCCCCAAAAAUCAACACAAAAAACUUAGAGAGAAAAAAAUGGAGGUUAGGGUUUGUUUGGAGGCUGAGAGUGUGUGACAGAGGCUGAGGGUAAGCAACCCUAGCCAUCUCAUUCCCUUAAAUAGGACACAAACACAAGAUAUUAGGGUUUCUCAUUAAACCACUACCAUAUUGUGGCCAUAUGUUGCCACGCACUGGCGGCCAUAAAGGAGAUUGCAGUAUUUCUUGAAACUCCAUGCAUUUGCGCUUUCCCCCACGUUGUGGCAACCCUAAUUACUUACAAUUUUGAAUUUUGAAUUACCUCAGGAUCCAGAUGUUAUAUAAACAUUGUAUUUUUGCGUUGAUUCAAUCAAUGAGAAAAUUCAACCAUUUUUCUUCUUUCUUAUGCUCUCUCAAAUGAAGAUGGCAUCAGAGCUUUGAUCCUCAAUCAAAUUCCUCAUUUCAAUCUCUUUUUUCUUUGAUUGAACUUUUUCAUCAUGUUUGUUUCAAAUUAUAAUAGAUAUUAAAUUCUAAAUCAAAUUAAUAAUUUUGAUCACUUAUAUAUUCAUCCAUUUGAUCAUCCUAUAACGUCCGUCCCCCAGUACGAAUCACUGUAUAGCAUAAGGGAGUCAAAUGCAUGGUUUUUGCGGAAAACCAUAUUUAAGAACGUGGCCAUAUGGAAGCCAUCACGUGAUGUGCCAAAUAUGAGAACACGUUUCUGGAUGGAUGUCAAGACGUGACAAGGGUAUGGUCACCGCAUGACUAUAGUUGCAGCCCAUGCCCAUGAUCUUUUAGGUUUUCUUCCAUAUUUAAGAGCCAAACCUCAAAUUUAUUUCAUCAUUUCCAGCCUCCAUCUGUCUCUAUAACCUUGAAGCAAACCCUAAUCCCCUAUUCUCUAUUUUGAGCUCAUCUUCGUGCUUUUGAAGGAAGAAGAAGGCUUUGGUACUAUUGUGUGCAUCUUGGCAAGCUUGGGACUUUAUUUGGCCAUCUCUAGAUAUUUAUAAGUGUUCAAGAUCCAAACUCUAUUGUUUUAGGUUUCUAUAUCUAAGCUUUUGUCCCUUCUAUCUUCACGUUUGAGCAAGUUGAAAUGGUGGGGUUCCAUAAAGUUGGAAGCUUUAUGGAUGCUUAAUGUCCCUUGAGGGUUGUAUAUGUUGGAACGGAAGUUUGGAUAAGUUUUGAAGACAUUCAUAUGAUCGUGGUUCUAUUUUUCAUCAUUUUGACAUAAUAAGAGAUCAAGACAUGCAUUGGAUAUGCAUGGCUAUAAAGCAUCAAUUUUUAUAAUGUUUUUAGAGUAAGAAGGCCCUCUGGAAAGUUGGAAUGGAUGGCUUAAAGGACUAAGAACUGAAUGAAUUAAGUUUUCCCAAAUUGUAGUAGUCACGACAUGACCAUUUGGAGGUCAUGAUGUGAUGAUGAGAUUUCAUGAUUGAUUUAUACAGACUCUGUCAUGACGUGGGGGCAUAGCCAUCAGGACAUGACAAUGGUUUUGAUCGUAGCUAAAUUGUUUGAAUAUGAAGUUUUGGAUUGGGGUUGAGUUUGUUAGUCACAACAUGACCAUUGGUUGGUCACAACAUGAGUAUCAACUGUUGGUGAUGUUGAUUGUUGACUUUGACCUUGACUGUUGACUUCUGGUUAAAUUUCUAAUGUUAUCAGGUAGACUAAGGAUUACCUUGUGUGGUUUAUUAGGAGGUGUAUAGCACCUGUUCGUUGGCUGUGAGAGCUGUUAGUUGUUAACUACCUCACCAAGGUGAGACUGCUCACUAUAUUGUGUAGGAUAUUAGUUGUCAUUAUGACUCUUGCAUUGUGUGUUGGGUUGGGCACGUUUGUAUGUUGGUUUGGGCUCGUUUCGUGUUUGGUUGGACCCAUUUGUAUGUCGGGCAGGACCCGUUAUAUUGGGUGGGGCCUGAUAAAAUGGGUAGGGAUCGUUAGGAUUGGAUGGGCGGGGCCCAUAUGGUUAUGUGGUAUUUUGUGGAAAUCGUUAAGCUUUAUGCUUACGGUUUUGUUGUUUAAACAUUAUUAGGCUCUUCCAGUCCUAAAGGGAAAGGCCUGACUUGACUGUACAACAUCCCCUAAUGACUUUUCCACAUUGAUUAUUAUUGAUUUACUCUGAUGUUUGAAAGAUACCUUUUACUCUGAUUGUUUUGGAAUAAAUGGCUGUAUGGAUUUGAUGGUUUAAAAAUGAAGAUUUUAUUGGAAUUUUUUGGACGUUACAAGUUUGUAUCAGAGCCUUGGUUUGAGGGAUUCAGGCACACUCUCGGCAGUUUCUGAACUCAAACUGAGGAAUUGGCAGCAACAUGAACAUUAAGGCAAACCAAGUUUAAAUUAACCUUCGUAUAUUCGAGAGUAUAAGACUUUCUUGAUACCAAAAUUCUGUGGUGCAGUCAAUCCAUGACUUGUAUGCAGUGCAACGGCAAGUAACUUCACUGAUAUCACAUCACCAAUUAAGGGCAUUUUUUGUAGAAGAAUCACUCUCCAACAACUGCAUGUCCAUGUUCCUAAGCCACAACUGAUUUAACUAUCUCUUUACGCAUCAACUAUGGAUGACAACUUUAGAGAUUCCACCACACCAUUGAUAAGGGUAAUUUUGUCAAACCUUUCACCAGCUGCACCUCCAACCAUCUGAUUAAUAUGAGCUUAAUUGAAUUGUGAUUACCUGCACUUGGGUGAAUAUUCCAAGAGAAGAAAAGAAAAUAAAAUCAAAGAAAACACUCACACAUGCCGACACAUAUCCCCAUACCCAAUUCACACAUGAAAGAAUCAAUUAAAACACAUACAAGAAUAUCCGACGUAUCAUAGAUCCUAUUUGAUGUCUACCCUAUGAAUUAAAAACGCACGCCGAACACACACUAGUUGCGCCAAGAUAUUGAAGGGUUUUGAGCAUUAUAUCACUCCUAUGGUGUACAUGCAACCCUAAAUACCAUGGAUCUAUGUUUUCUCUAUUAUACAUGCAAACUUGAACUUUCCAAGGUAUUGCCCUAACUCGCAUACAAUCAUCGAUACUUGGGUAAUAUAAACAAGUUAGAAGACAUACCUUUUCAUGUAACUUGAUUCCAUGGAGCUUAAGAGCUUAGUGCCUCAAGUGUGACACCUCAAAUGACUCGCACAACAUCACCAACAUCUUGGAAUAACUUGAGAGAAAAGGUUCCUAUGCCUAAAUCGGCUAGCCCUCAUGUGUACACACACUAGUGCCAAUUUUUUGAGCCAUGGGGUCCUUAUAUAUGGUGGCUAUUAGGGUUACACCAUGUAACUCAUGUCUUUCAAUAUUCUUCAUGCUCCAUGGGUUAAAACCUCUAUGAAGUAUCCAUGGGUUACUAGAUGGGUUUAGCUCAACAUGAAGAACUAUGGAUCAUAAACCUACAUAUAUAAGAAUGAAUGAUUUACACAAUCAAUCCCCAUAUAUUUAAUUAGUCUCCUUUUGAUCACAAAAUUAAUUCCAAAAUAAUUAUUCAUCAAUACUAAUUAAAUAAUAUGAUUUCAUAUUAAUAUAUUAGAACUUAUAAUAUACUAAGAAAUCAUAAAUAUCCUUUUCUCAUAAAAGUCUAUCCGAAUUGUUCCGAUGCCAUGCAACCCAAAUGGACCAUGCCAAUCAGGUCAAGUACAUACCAAUUAUAGUUAUGGACUUAGACACUAAUCCAACAUAUAUGUCACCAAGAGACCCCAAAUUAAAACCCUUAUCCCCCAGUUAAUGCUACAUCAACAUCAUAUAGAACAUCCGAUAAAAAUUAAGUAAAUAUGAACACAUCGACUUGCACACCAUAAGAUAGCAGGAUUAUGUAAGUUUUCCAUGCCAUCCCCUCCAACCAAGGCCACAUCCCUAAAGCAUAUCACUUACAAUCAACAGAUUGUAUUGAUUGGAUCGAAACACCAAUCCUUCCAUCCAAUUGACUUAUUUUUUAACCUUGUAUUUAUCUAUCCAAUUGACUUAUUUAUUCCGAGUGGGACUUCUAGUUCCUAUAAUUCUAUAUGAGCAAUCUGUAGAAUAGCAAUAUAACAUACUCGAGUUGGACUGUGAUGUUUAGUGCCCAUUUUUCCAAAACAUCAGGUCUUUCACGGAUGUGAUGGAGUUUGGGAGUGAGCACCACCAGGUUUUGAGGCUAUUCCACACAUAACAAGAGAUUAUUCAGUUUAGAAAAAUAUGUUCUUUUGUUUCUGGUUCCUUCCUACAUAAUAUGCAGAUGGGAUUAGUUCCAAUUCCUCUAUUCAUGAGGUUUACCCAUGUUAGGAUCCGAUCAUGAUCCAUUCUCCAAGCUAAUAUAUUGACCUUCUUAGGGACUAGAUAGUUCCAAUCCUACACUAUUGAUGAUUUAGGCAAGGAAAAAUUGUCAAUCAACAUAUGUAGGGAAGAGAAUGAGUAUAUCCCUCAUGGUUCCAACUUCCAGGCCCAAUUUGAUCGUUGAUUAGGUUGUGAUUCGGUGAAGAGUUCUUUGAGGUCAAUAUUUUCUUUUGCUAGAGUUGCUAGUAGGUUUGCAAUAUUACCCCAACAAUAACUCUUUCAUUUUACCCUUGAGGGCACGAUAAAACCCCCAUCUUGUCCAUAGAUGGCAAUGAUGACUCUCUUCCAUAGUUCAUGCUUGUGUUCUUUGAAAUGCCACCACCACUUCACUAACAGUGCAAUGUUUUGGGCUUUAAGACUACUGAUACUUAAACCUCCAUUUUCUUGUUUCGAGAGUAUUUUUUCCCAGCCAAUCCAUGCUAAUUUUUUUUUUCUUUGACGAGCCACCCUAAAAGAAGUAUGUUCUCAUUUUUUCAGGAUUGUUAAGAACUUUAAUUGGUGCCUUAUAUAAUAAAAAAGGAAUAUACCAAGGCUAUCUUGCACCGAUUUGCAUAAUGUUAAUCUGACGCCAAAGGAGAGCGUGGAGGCUUUCCACUUUGAAAAUUUACCUUGGAUAUUCUUGAGAUUGUAGUACCCACAGGCAUACCUAAUUAGACAAAUGGUAAGUUACAAAUGGAGAAUUGGAUGCUUCUGGUCAACAAUUGAUCAUUUUGAAGAUUAUUGAUGCCUAAACCGAAGAGCUUACUUUUUGUUAUAUUUACUUUUAGUGUAGAGACGACCUCAUAGGAACAAAGUACUUUGAGUAAGUUCUUGGCAUUUUGUAUUGACCACUCUCUUAGGAAAAUUUCAUCAUCGUCAAAGUAAAGAUGAGACACGGUCGGUCCGUUAUUUAGAAGGGCAUGCCUUUGAAGAUGUAAUGACUCGUAGGUUCUUCUAUUGUGAUAUUGAGUCACACAGCACCAAGAUAAAUAAGAAGGGAGAGAGAGUGUCCCCCUGUCGAAUUCCCCUCUCUAGAAAGAAUUCUUUGGUUGCUGAACUGUUGACUAUUAGUGAAGCCCUGGCGGAGGUAAGACAACUCCAAAUCAAACUGCACCAUUCAAUCCCAAAGUCAAUCUGUGCCAUUAUAUUAUAGAAUCUAGGUACUUCAAAUUUACACAAUCAAAAUCCUUUUCAAAGUUUACUUUGAAUACGAAAGCCUUGGUUUUGGAUUUCAUAAGCCAUGAGAUGAUUUCAUUUACAAUCAACGGGCCGUCAAGUAUGCUGCAAUUCUUUAUGAAAGUCGUUUCGGUUGGGAUAAUUACUUUAUCUAUCACAACUUUUAACCUUUUGGCUAGCACCUUUGAGAUAAUCUUAUAAACGAAACCGAUUGGUCUAAAGUCAUCCUGGAUGUAUGGAUAUGUAAUUUUCGGCACUAAAAUGAUAAACAAAGAGUUACAUUCUUUUUCGAUCUUUUCGGUUUUCUCUAAUUCUUUGAUAGCAAAGAAGAUGUCACCUCCGAUUGUUUCCCAUUUUUUUGAUGAAUGAAAAUGUAGAUGCAUCGGGCUUGGAGCCUUGUCGGCCCCGCGUUUCCACACCGUUGUCUUUACUUCUUCGAGGGUAAUAGCUGCUUCAAGAAUGGACCUGUCAUUGAACGAUAUUUUUUUGAACCUAGUAAUAAAGAAGGAAGGCAUGUUUUGGUUAGUUUCCAUGAACUUUUUGUAAAAGUGGUUAUAAACCUCAAAUUUGACUUUGUUUGGGUCCGAAGUUCAAAUACCAUUGAUGUUUAUGCCAAUCAGUCGUUGCGAACGAAUAUUCUUGUUAAUUAGAGCGUGAAAGAACCCCGAGUUUUGGUCUAUAACGUCCGUGUUUCUGGCUAAGCAUUAAUAUUAUGAUGUAAUAGUUUGGUUCACCAAUUGUAACUUAUUUUAAAGUAAUGAAGAAAAAUUAUUUGAGUAUUAUGUGAUUUAUGUGCAACAUAUAUGCUUAUAAUGAUACAAUAAAAUAAUAAUAAAAAUAUGCAUAAAAAGUAAAAUGAACAUUUGACCCAAUAUCUUUGAAGAAAGUUGAAGUAGUCGUGACAACUAUACCAGAGAUAUAAAGAACACUGAAAUCCGCUUUAUAACAAAGAAGCUAUGACCCAUCGAAGUUUCGUGACUAAACAGGCACGACACCGCGUAUCGCAAAAAGUGAAAUGUUGAUAAACUACUUUUUAGAAUUAGCAAUCUAAACGAAAGUCGUAGUAUAUGUUAAACCGAGAGUUUGCAUAUAGAGAACAUCCAAAUAUGAUUUUGUUAGAGGAAGUUAUGAUUUUUCUAAGAUUUUGCAUAUAAGAUGCAAUCCAGAAAUCAAAUUUUAGAUCAAUCGAUUUUCAGCCGACAUAAUCAAAAUGAGAAUUGAAGAUCUCGUUAAUAGAAGCUCAAUGAUAUAAAGACAGUCGAAAAUGCACGUCAGAUGACAAAGUUAUGAAUUUUUAAUGGAGUUUAUAUGUCUAAGCCUGUUAAAAUAUAACUUCAAAAAUAAAUUCAAAAUUAGCCGAUGAAGUCCAAAUGAAACUUCUAGAUGACAUCACUACCUACGCAUGGAUAUAAAGAACGUAAAAAACAGAGCUCAUAUGCGAAAGUUACAGAUUUUAGAAGAUAAUUAAUUUUCUAUUAAGUUCCGGAGGUGACAUGUGGCACCAUCUCAGCCUCACAUUCAUCCCCUCAACUUUACACGAGAUCACGACANCGUACAUGAAAAUUAUGCCCAACGUAAGCUUCCUUCUCAGCCUAUAAAUAGAGGCACAAAUCACCUCAUUUCUUCACACCUUUUCUCAAUUUCUCUGCCAAAUACCCCCAAACCCUCUUCUCCUUUCCCUAGCACUUCCUAAGUGUUACAAGCGAGUCCCGAAGCGUUAGAAGGCCCAUACAAGAAGAGCUUUCAGCUCAGAAGUUCUACAGCAAGGUUCCUCGCUAAACCCCCUUGUAAGUGAGUUAUGCUUAGUAUACUUCAAGUAUAACUUAUGUUUAAGUUCAUUAUUGUUAUUAUGAACCUAUAAACAUGAUUCAUCAGUGAGUCAAAUUUGUUAUACUGAUUGAUCUACUUACGAGGAUGAUGUCUAGGCUGUGAUUUAGUGAGGUGUUUAAAGUGAGCUUUCCAAAUAGUAUACUUUGUAUACCAAACGGACCCUACCUCCGAUAUGAUCCUCCCUGGUUGUUCCUUACUUGAUAGAUAAUGAAAUUAGACUUUGAGUUAAUGAUAAAUCUAGACUAAUAACAAGUCGCAAUAAAUAUUAUACUAAAAUCUAGUGAUAAUAAUACUGGGUUUCGUCAAAGGAAAACACGAUUGUUAGAAGCGAAGAGCUGCCUUAACUUCGAGUCAUCACUUUAACAAGCGAGUGCAUAGUUACUUUCAUCUUACACAUAGAUAUGAAGUAUUUAAUAUAACUUACGUGCUAUGUGAAGGGUCUGAUAAAUGGUUUGGGCUAGGCUUUAUAUGUGAUUUGUUUAGUUUUGAGUAUGUAAUAGUAUUUUUGAGUUGUUUACUGUUUUGUCAUGUUCACGACCGUAAACACGUUUACGGCCGCAAACUCAGUUUGCUGUCUAGACUAGUAUAUAAUGGCUAAGAGUUGGUCAUUUGAAUGGUUGGAUGCUUAUCAGUUUACGGCUAAUACUUGAGGUGUACCAGACGGUUAUUUGAUAUAAACGUGUGCAAGCUCAUUUCUUAUUCAUCUCGUUGCUAUUCUCGAUUUGUGAUUGUUUGAUUACUAGUAUUAGAUCCAAAUCCAGACCUAACACUAUGUGUGCAUAUUAUCUAUGUUCUUGAUAUCUAUGCUGGAUGAACAAUUUAUACAUGUUUGUAAUUGAUUUAAACUGUAUAUGUAUUUUAUAUCUGCAAAUAUGUUGGGUAAAUAUGGGUAGAUGAAAUAGAUGAUGAAGGAUGACAUAAAAUGAUGAGAGGCCUCGAUGUUUAAGCUGAUUUAGUCAUCUAGCAGAGUAUAGAUGACGACCACGGACUAUUCUAGAUAGUCCAGUGGAACGCUGGCGGGCUCGCAACCUAUAGGUGUUUGUGAACGACGUGUUCACCAGGUGUACUCCAUCCCUCUCAUGGUUGCCUUAUUAACAUAUAUUGUAGAAGUAUCCCCUAAGGAGUAUUGUCGAUCCCGAUGAAAAUCCUUAGCUAGGUCGCUUACUUUAGAUGCUUUAGGGAUAAAAAGUGAGGAUAAAGGGAAUAGGUGGUUGAAUGAAUUGAUGAAGUUAAUGAACUUAAUUAUUUUGGUUUGAAAACGCUAUGUGCUCACCAGACUCCCAAUCCUGACCCACUAAGUUUCUUGUAUUAUAGGUAGUGGCAAAAGAGCACAGGAGUAAUGGAUGUUUGUAAAGCCUUUACUAUUUAUGUUUAUGCUUAUGUACUGUAUUAACAAUGACAUCCCAACAUUUUUAAUAUAAUGAAAAUACAUUUCUUCGGAAAUGCUUUGAUAAUAUACUUAUCAUAUUUUUGGAAACAAAUUCCGCAAUAUCAUUCUUCAAAAAGAUCUCUGGUUUUUAAUAAAUCAUAAACAAAUCGGUCUUUUCUGGCAGUAAAAUCGGGGAUGUCACAUCAUCGGCUUCUAAAGCCCAUUUACAUAUUGACUUAUGUUUCACGUCUAGCAAACAUUUGGAAUCGAACUCUAUUAGUUCUCUUAGAAAAUCUUUUCUAGUCGACAUGUCUGAUUCAUAUUGUUGUGUUUCCUCUACCUUUAGAUCGAUCUAAUUCACUUUGUUGGACGCUCACUGCCAUGCGAAUGGGAGGAUACCACAUUAAACAAGCUAUAUUCAUAAAUGAAGUUUAUGAGAUUAUAUAUUUCAAAAGAUAUAAAGAAAUUCAUUAAGAACUAUAAUAUCUAAUUGUUAUAGGUGUGGGGUUCUACUUUAAAGCAGAUCUCAUAAUCACAUUAUAUAUAUAUAUAUAUAUAUAUANUAUAUACUCUUGAUAAAAACAAAGUAUAAAAUUCAAAACGAUGUAUGCUAUCUAACCUUAGAAACUGCAACCCGUGCACACAUAUCACCGGUUUUACGCACAACACCUCGAAAAGCUACACAUGGUAAACAAAGUAGUUGGUCUUCUAAUAAUAUUAUAUGGUUUUAAAACAAUGGCAAAUACCAUAAUUGCCACAACUUUUUCACGCAUAAUAAGAAAAGGCAUAUUAUUAUUUUGUUUGGUUAGCUCUAGCUACAACUUUUAUGCAAAGUUAUUACUUUAGUACGCUUAACGAUUUUCAUUGUUAACUUUGUUGUCUUGUUUUAAAAAUUAGUCCUAAAAUUGGGUUAAAGUCUAAAUUUGGUCUCUGUAGUUUGCAAAAAAUUACACUGUAUGUCAAAAGCUUCGUUUUAUGUUUUUUAACUUCUUUAUCUUCAUUUAUUUUUUAUUUUUUCGCCAAAACUAAACUUGGUUUUAUAUUUAUUUCGUUUUCUAUAUUUUCUUUAUUUUUUGUAUUUUUUAAUAUUUUUUUUUUGUUUUUUAGUUAUUUCCUAUUUUAAUAAUUAUAAAUUAUAUAUAUCGCACAUUAAAUAAAAAAAGUAAAAAAAAAAAAACCAUAAGUUACUCAAAUAAAAAAAAUAGAAACCCAAAAAAAAAAAAAAAAAAAAAAAAAAAAAAAAAAAAAAAAAAUCAAACACCAAAAAUGUAAUACACUUUACACUUUUUGAAAAAUAUCAAAACAAGUUAUCAAAUUGAUGAAUAACAAAAAGUAAAAAAAUAAAAAUAAAAACAAAAACAAAAAGAUAAAUAAAAAGAAAAAUAUAUUCAUACACUUUACACUUUUGAAAAAUACCAAAAGAAGUUAUCAAAUUAACGAAAACAAAACGUUAAAAAAAACAAAAAAAAAAACAAAAACAAAAAUAAAAAAAUAUGAAAAUAUAUAUAAAAAAAAAAGAAAAAAAAAUAUAAAACCAAGUUUAGUUUUGACUAAAAAAUAAAAAAUAAGUGAACAUAAAGAAGUUUAAAAAAAAACAUAAAACUGAGUUUUGAAAAUGUGGAGUAAUUUUUUGCAAACUACAGUGAUCAAAUUGGAACUUUAAACUCAAUUUUAUAAUUGGUUUUUACAAAAUAGAUAACAAAAUUAACCAUAAAACUCGUUAAGUGAGCUAGAGUAAUAACUCUGCGUAAAAUUUGAGGCCAAAGUGAAAAACAAAUAAUAAUAGGGUUUUUCCUAUUACGCAUGAAAAGUUUUGGCUUUUAUGGUAUUUGUCCUUAAAACAAAUGUUGACUCCAUCUCUCAUUCCAGCAACAAGUUUAUAGUUGACUAUGAACCUAUGUAUAUUAAAAUCAUUGGUGGAACGACCAUUGCAUAUUCUAAUAAUAUUAUAUGGUUUUAAAACAAAUGUGGGCUCCAUCUCUCAUUCCAACAAGAACUUUAUAGUUGACUAGCUAUGAACCUAUAUGAAUAUCAUCCAUGGUGGAACUCCCAUUAAUUGCAAAUUCUACAUCUACUUCAAAUUCUUCUUCUUCAUUGAUAAUUAUGUUGGCUGCUACUGGAAAUGGCAAGGAAUCUCAACCAUCCACGUCCUCCUCCACGGAGUUCUCACAACCAUUCCAUCACUUCCAAUUUCCUGAGAUUCUCUUAGCAACCAAUAACUUUGACGAAUCAUUAGUAAUUGGGCAUGGAGG
RNAcentral lists this long non-coding RNA (67721 nucleotides) under Lactuca sativa (garden lettuce). RNAcentral's name for it is "long non-coding RNA (LSAT_LNC007321)". Lineage: Eukaryota; Viridiplantae; Streptophyta; Magnoliopsida; Asterales; Asteraceae. The record is from RNAcentral.